This 75749-nucleotide long non-coding RNA is filed under the name Cucumis sativus (cucumber). RNAcentral describes it as "long non-coding RNA (CSAT_LNC000709)". The record is from RNAcentral. Lineage: Eukaryota; Viridiplantae; Streptophyta; Magnoliopsida; Cucurbitales; Cucurbitaceae.
UUUUUUUUUUUUUUUUUUUUUGCUAUUUAUAACCAUUCUUCAUGAAAAUAAAAUCUUAAGAAAGCGAAUGGACUAUUUUGUUUGAUAAUUUUAAUUCCUUUUGUAAUUAGGCUAAUGAAAAAAGAAAAACUUACCUCAAUUAUGGAACACUAGAACUACAUAGAAACAAUUAUAAAUGUGGCUGAUUAUUUGUCUUAGCCUUGAAAUUUCUUUAAAGAAAAUAGCCUUGAAAUUGUUUCUUUCUCAAUUUCAUUGUCCAUCUCUUUCUACAUUUCAAAAUAUUUCUGUCUCUAGUCUCCCAAAUUAUUAAUCUAUCUCUCUUAAUCUCUUUAACUCCCAAUUUCUCUCUUUAUUUUCCAGAUUUUCUAUCAAUCUUUAUUCGUAAUCUUAUUUUAUCUCUCUUUCGCAUUUCUAUUUUCCAAUGUUAUCAAUCAUCAAUGAAGUGGUUCUACGACGAUGGCUUUACCAAACAUUUUCCUUUUAUCAGUUAUCAACGAAAAUUGCCCUUUGAUGGUUUUAUCAAUUAUCAAUCAAGCGGUUCCUUGAUUUAGAUAUCUCACCUUCUUUGCUGAUUGUGAAGUAACUUCUCAUGACGAUGGUUGUAACAAAUAAGAGAAGAAAUUGAGAGAGGGGCAAAGGGGGGGAGACAAAAGGAACUCUAGUUUAACAAAAGAAAAAUUAAUUAUCUAUCAAAUCACCAUAUCUACAUAGUUGACUAACGGUCAAUCGUUAAAAAUAACUAUUUUGCAAAUUUGGAAGACUAAAAAUUGUAUUGCAUUUUUACCUAAUAGUCAGGUAUCUUACAAGAGGUAUGAGUCCUAGUUUUUUCAACUCUCAACAUCUCACCAACUUGACAGCCACUUUGGGCGAUUGGAGUUCUAGCAACAUCAAACUUAUUUGGCUUCAGAUUUUUAUGGAAUUGAUACUGAUUUGGCUAGAUCCUUUUUAGCGAACAACAAUUUAUCUGAUUUGGGUACUUUUUGACUAAUACGUUUUCUUCUUAUUAAUGUAAAUAAAGUAGGCUUAGUUAUUUUGGGUAAUGAUGUUAAUGUAAAUAAAGUAGGCUUAGUUUAUUUGGGUAAUUACCCUUGUAUAAAUACACUCCCUUUGGUCAAUAAACAUAUUAAGAGAAUAUUCUUCAGAAUAUACUUUCACAUGAUACCAGAGCUAGGGUUUUCAUCUUAGCCGCCGCCGCCGCCGCCGCCCACCCGUGAAAGUCUCCGUCUCCGUCAUCCUCAUCGCGCCUCGCAGUCGUUCCGUCAUCGUCAUCCUCAUCGCGCCUCGCGUCUCGCAGACAGCUCCGAUCUGUCUCCAGCCCUUCCGCGCGCCUCGCAGACAGCUCCGAUCUGUCUCCAGCCAUUCCACCACAACAUCGGCGUCGCGCCGAUCAGUCGCAGCCUCGGCAUCGCAGGUGGCCGUUUCCGCUCCGAUUCGUCUCCAUCCGCGAGGCAGCCGCGCCGUUUCCGCUCCGAUUCGUCUCCAUUCGCGAGGCAGCCGUACGCGUCACCUUGCGGCCGCCGUCCAGAUCUGUACCGCAAGACCUUCCGCCGCUGCCGCCAUUGCUCUUCCGCCGCUGUCCAGCCGUCUCAGCCGGUUCUGUCUCCGUUGAAGCCAAGGCCGCCGCGUGAACUGACGAAUCCUUCAGCCGUUUGUCUUCAGAUCUGACGAAUCUUUCAGCCGUUUGUCUUCAAGUUUUUUUUUUUUGUUUGUCUCCGUUCCCAGCCGUGCACCCCUGAAUCCAGUCGCCGCAACCCAGCCGUGCACCCCUGAAUCCAGUCGCCAAAUACAGUGAAACCCAUAUCUGACAAAUCCAGUCACGAAUCAGUCAAAACUCGGCCGAAAAUCCGCAUUGUUAACCCCAAAUCAAAAUGGAGAGAGACCAUAUCUUUAGACCCAUUUCUACCAUACUUGAUGGUACAAAUUAUAUCACAUGGGCAAAUCAAAUGAAAAGUUUUCUUAUUGGAAGAAAACUAUGGCGCAUUGUAACUGGCGACAUCACCAAACCAACUGCAAAGGAAGGGGAUAACACAUUCAUUGAACGUCUCGAAGAUUGGGACAGUAAAAAUCAUCAAAUUAUCACCUGGCUUGGUAACACCUCUAUUCCCGCUAUACAUGCACAGUUUGAUGCCUUUGAUGAUGCUAAAAUAUUAUGGGAUUUUUUGUCUACACGCUUCAAGUCUAUUGGUUUAGCCCAUUAUUACCAACUGCACAGUACACUUGUAAAUCUAAAUCAAGAUUCUGGUCAGUCUGUUAAUGAAUAUUUGGCAGUUCUUCAACCCAUUUGGACUCAACUUGACCAAGCGAACAUCAGCAAAGAUCAUCUUCGCCUUAUUAAAGUCCUUAUGGGAUUACGUCCAGAAUAUGAAUCUGUUAGAGCUGCUUUACUACACCGGAAUCCCUUACCCUCAUUAGAUGCAGCUAUUCAAGAAAUUCUGUUUGAAGAAAAGCGUCUUGGCAUCAACUCUACUAAACAAUCUGAUGUUGUCCUUGCUAGCACAUACACUCCCAACAGAGCCGCAAAUAUGUUUUGUAAGAAUUGUAAGCUCUCUGGUCACAAAUUUAGUAACUGUCCUAAAAUAGAGUGCAGGUACUGCCAUAAACAUGGCCACAUUCUGGAUAACUAAGCCUACUUUAUUUACAUUAAUAAAUUAAUGUAAAUAAAGUAGGCUUAGUUAUUUUGGGUAAUGAUGUUAAUGUAAAUAAAGUAGGCUUAGUUUAUUUGGGUAAUUAGCCUUGUAUAAAUACACUCCCUUUGGUCAAUAAACAUAUUAAGAGAAUAUUCUUCGGAAUAUACUUUCACACUUCUAAUGUGAACAUGUAUUAUCUUCCCCUUAAGCUUUUAGUUUCUAGCUGACAUGAUGAUGUUUGCGUUUCAUGGCUAAUGUUGUUUCAUAGAGGCCCUAUUUUCAAUUCGCAUGCUCUGCAAUAUCUCAUCAUAGUUUUAAUUUCUAAAAUUGGAGAGUAGCUACGCACCAUUUUAUCCAUAUUUUUUAUAGUUCAAUUAUAUAGUUUCGUUAGGCCAAUAUUCAUAUUAUAUAGACUAUAAUUGGUAGUAACACAACCACCUUUUUAGCAUCUCGCACAAUGGAAAUCUGCAUCAUCAAACAUCUGCUUUUUAAUUACUAACUAUAAAGUUCGAGGUAAACAUUGACUCCUAUAUACUAUAUUAUUCAGAUAUAUUUAACCCUAUAUGGAAAGAUUCCUGUGAACUAGAUCUUUCCAGAAUAUAUGCUUUAUCUAACCAUCUAGAAGUAUAGAAAGGGGUCACAAAUGCCGACCACACACGUAAACACUACUAAAAAUCUAUUAUUAUACUCUAGGCUUAACAAGAAUCGUUUUCUUCAUAUUGAACUCUGUUGCUAGAUGGCUUGCCAAUUUGUAAGCAUCCAAUUGGAGGUGAAGUAGGAGUUCUCAAUUCUCCAAAAGUUUGCCAGCAGAAAGGAUCAUAUAAGUGAUAGCGCUCUUGUAGUGGUUUUAGCUCUAUAGUAGUCAGUGUUACAUCUGUACAUGGUAGGUUGUCGCUACAGGCAAAGUGUACAGGCUUGACUGUGUAAGUUCCUCUGAUUCUUUCAUAAUUGAUUCCUGAUAGAGCCACGGCUGAAGUCUGGUUGCUGCAUUUGGCUUUAUCACAAUAAAAUUGGUCAAUCACAAUUGGCAAUUGAACUUCAGACAUUUGAAUGUUUGAGAAGAGAACGUUUUGAACAGAGCCGGAUCCACCCUGUAAAGAUAUCAUUUGACAUUCUAUCAAUACUCAAGGAUAUUCAAUUCUUAACAUUAUAGAUGACAUGUGGGGACUCCCAAAUUUGAAAAAGUACGACCAUCCAUGGACGGUGGUUAAUUAAGAAUUUGUUAAGAUAUUUGAUUUUAGCAUAUGAGUAUCAAGAGGACAUCCAAAUUGAAACUAUAACAAAUUGAAGGGUUGACAAUAUUGGCCUAUACAGUUUUUCUUUUUUGUUAUGAUCUAUUAUUAGAGCUUGUUCAUUUUUGAGCGACAUGUUUUCCUUUAAAUAGAAGUACCUGCCAUGUUUUGAUUCUAACGCCGUUCAUCGUGUCAUGCAUUGUGACAUCUCGAACUGUUAUAUUUGAAACACAAGCUUUAGUAUGAUCCUUUCCUAGACUUCCAAUGCUGAUUCCAUGUCCUGGCCCACAGUUCACAUUGUGUAUGUAUAUGUUUGAGCAUCCGGUUUGAAUGGAAACACAAUCAUCUCCUGAAAUGAUCAGACUAAAUAUUAUCAGUCACAUGUUUAGUUCAACUUCCAACUUUUAUCUAAAGAUUUUCUCAUGUGCUGAAUAGUGUGGUUGGGGUCAUACCAAUGGGGCUGAAUAGUGUGGUUGGGGUCAUACCAUGGAAAGGGGAAUUAUUGAAUCAAAGAGAAAAGGAGAGUCUGGAUUAACUUUAGGAUCUAUCUGAUGACAUUAUUCAAUAUGAAGAUCCUAUGUCAGCACAACCAGACACAAGGAGGAGGGAUAGAAACAAGUUACGUGCCCAUAGAGACAAUAAAAAUUGGGCGAUGCAAACAAAAUAAGCAUUAUGGACACGGAACAUAUGAUUGUAGUUCAACUUCGAAUGGUUGCGAAUUCCUGUAGUGAAAGACUCAAGUCUCUUGACAAGAUAAGGUUGCAUGUGUUCAGGACCCUCCACAUUUAACGCAAAUAUUUAUAAUUUUAUCCAUCAAAUUAUCCUGUUAAGUGGCCAUGGUGAUUGAAUGUUGACUACUGAGUUUGUCUCAACUCUCGAGAGUUAAGUCGUGCUCACUGUUAACCAUUUAAGUAGAUAAUAUUUAAUAACAGGAUCAGUUGAUUAGAAGUGACGUAAUUACCACAAGAUAGACUGGUGCUAUGGAUUAGAACGUCUUUGGAGUUUUGCAAGUGAAUUCCAUCAGUAUUGAGACUGUCUCCAGGAGAUGAGACGCUGAUAUCAUGCACCAGGACUCCCACACAGUUGUCAAACUUGAGGUGGCAUUGGGGACUGUUUUGGAUUGUUAUGCCCGUGACCGUGGCAUUGAAGCUUCCAUAAAACCUAAGUGCCUGUGUAACAUAACAUUUCAAUAAUUCUACAGGAUGAGAAUGAUAAUGGCCAUCAUGAAUUCAAAUCAUCUUAGAAGUUUUUAAGCAAGCGAUUCUUACAGUUGGCUUGAUACUUGGCAUUUUCCCUUCUAGAUUGCUUCCUAUCUGCCAAAUAUUUUAGGAGUGAACUACGAUCAUUUCCCUUUUCCAUUUUACAAUAGAUCAAAACUAGAUAUAUUGAGGAAGAAAACCAUACUAUAGAAUGGUAUUCAUUACCGGCGUUGGUUUUGUUUCAUUUAUGGUAUUGUUUACGGGUAUAAUGAGUUUCAUCUCAUCGUCUAUGGGCUCAUCAAAAGAAGAAUCUUGCCACCAAACGGAUCCUCUUCCGUCAAUUAUGCCAUUUCCUCGUAUGGUAAUCCCUACCAGCUUUGUAAAUUGGAUCCAUUGUAAGAGUCCUUUCCCCCAGGUUUGGUGGUCAGUGGGUGCGAUAAUUGUUCCAUCCAGCUGCAAAUUAAGUUUAAUUAGAUUGUACAAUAGCAGAGGGGGGAUUGAAAGUUUCUCUAACUAGGUUGUUUAUGCCCAUUUAAUAACCAUUUGGUUUUUUCAAUUGUGUUUAUGUUUUUGCAAUUUCUUCUUUGUCAUGGUUUUCAUAUUUGGAAGUAACAGUUUGAAUUUGUAUCCAAAUUCUAAAAGUAAAGAUAACUGUUUUUCCCCCCCAUGCUGUAAGAAAAUAUAAAUUAUAAAAGAAGAAAGAAAUAAAAGACACUUUUAUUAGAGAUGAGUAAAAGAUGCUUUUGUGGGGAAACCGAGCUUGUGGAUUCGAUAAUGUUUACCUGAAAUAUAAUGUCUGGCUGGCAAUAUGGGCCAGAGAAAGAAAUGGGUCCUACGAAGAACACGUAAUCUGCCGGAACCAUGACCGUCGAUCCCUCAACCUUACACGCUUCCGCCCAGGCGUCUUCAAAUGCCUGAAAUGGAUGAUACAAGUUUCAAAAACCAGCGUUUGAUGGUUUCUUAUUGGUUCUGCCCAAGCCCACAUUACCUUAUCAUUGUUUCAAGAAAACUGCCAUAACUAAAUUAUUUUCUAUUCUUAUCUGUGGGUCCCGCCUUCCCUGGUACUUGGUCCUCAAGUCCGCCUUACCACCACCUACCUUUUCUUUUUCUAUGUAUAUCUACAGUUUUCUACACAACAUGUUAAUGGGUAGUAGAAAAUUAUUAAGAAAUGUUACAGUUUUCAUGCUCUACCGUAUACUAAUGUUUAAGUCAAUUUGGAGAUAAAUUAAGAAGACCUAAAAUAUUAGAUUCUCAUGUUUACUAUUAUUUGUUAGUCUUGCUGCCAUUAUCUUGAUUUUGCUUAUUCCUUCACAAUAGCUGCACUUUGUCCCUUGUGAGUUAUUCCAAAAGUAAACAAAAAAGGGGGUGAUUUAAGCUGGUCUUUCAACAAAAAGGAUGAUCAAUGCAACUGUUAUUACUUUCUUUACCAAGUUUCCUCAUAAUAUUAUUUUUAGCACCAAAGUUUGUCCAUUUUCAGGUAUGUAAGAUAUGUGCUUGAAGUUUCUGAAAGUUACAACUACUCAACAAGCAAUAUAAAUUUAUUUGUUUGUACAGUUGUUGGAAGCUUAUUCUUUUUCAAUGACUCGAAUCAUUGUAUAGUAGGAAAAAAGGUUGAAUAUGGGGAGAAUUGAAGGUACCUUAGUGUCAUCAGUCUCUCCAUUGCCUUUAGCACCAAAAUCUAGAACGUUGAAUAUGGCAGAAUCACCAGCACUGGGGCCUUUCUUGGGUGGAGUUUGAACGAUCUCUUCUUUUGGUUUAGGAGGAAGUGGAGAUGGAGGGGCACCAGAAUGGUGAUUCUUGCUACCGCCAUGACUGCCUUUCUUUUUGGAUAGAGAAGCAGAGGCAUCCCUGUUCUGUCUCCAGUGUUUUCCUCUCCUUGCAAUGCAGGCUUCAAAGUUUGAAGACCAAACGAGGAAAGCAAUAAAAACCACAAGUGUUAAGCUUUUGGAACUCAUUUUCAGUGGCAAUGUGGAGAGAGAGAAAGAGCUAAGUGUGUUUGACAUUGCCAAAGCAAGUGGAUGCUGAAGCGCGGUUAAAUAGGUAGAGACUCUAAAAGUUUCAGGAGACUGUGCAGACAAAUGCUAACAAACAUACUAUUUUGAUAAUGUCCUGAGGCAUAUUUAUUUUUUUCAUUCCCAAUCUCCCUGUUUUUCCUGCUCUCUUUUAUUAAUUAGGAAGCUUUCUUUUUUGUGAAUUCUGGUAGGAAUUGUUUAGCUGAAAAACAGCGACAUAGCGUUUUGGCCACAUGUUGAUAUGUCAUUGCAUGUGACUCAUCCAGUUGCCUCUUAAAAACUCAUCUUAAAUCACUCAUCUACCAUCAUCUACGUAUGCUCCCCUCACCCUUACUCUCUAUUCCCUCUUCUUUGCCUCAUUUGAAUGUGGACCUGCUAAUUCAUUCAUUUGUUAUUAUUAUUUAUAAAAUAAAAAAUUACUUAUAUAUAUAUAUAUAUAUAUAUAUAUAUAUAUACAUAUCGUUUCUCACUCAGAAUUAUUUAUAAAUUUGCCUUUUCUUACAUCACAAGAACACCACAAAAUCUUUCUGUCCUGUAAUUUUGUAUACAUUUUUACUACAUUUAUUUACCUCCAAAUGUGAAGAUUGAGAAAUGGAAAUGAAGCAAAUUUUGUUCAUCUUUGUUUGUGUUGGGCUAUGUUUUCGGGGUUCAAUCAUUUGUAUGGUUAAGAAGCGAAGUUGUGAAUAUUAUUUUAGUAGGUGAUGUAAAAGCAAAAAAGACACACGUGAGUAGUGGGUCUACAAGGUAUCGAGGUCAGGCCAGCGCUGAAUAUAACAGCAGCUCUUUUUGGUCACAUGCAAUCUUCACGGGCCUAAUCUUCUCAUUUCUUCUUUCCUUUUUUUUUUCCCUUCCAUUAACUACAAACAUACAAAACCCCUCUGUUUGCUUGGAUUUGCUAUUUCCCUCCUCUUACAAUAGGCACUUCAAUUCAUCUCUUAUCAUUACAUUUUCUUUUUUUCAGAAGAAAAAAAAAAGGAUGAAGAAAGAAUCAAGUAAAAGAAAAGCUUUAAAUUUACGGUUCCCACGACAAACUGGUUCUUCGUUUCAACUAUUUUGGUGCUGUUUUGGCACUGUGUUUGUAAUUCUUAUCUUAUCAGUUUAUACUUUAAUUUAUUAAAAACGUACAAAAAUGAUAAAGGAGUGAAGAUAGAUAGAAAGCAACCCAUCAAAAACUUCUUUCAUCACCUCCCAAAAAUAAAGUUAGCGCCCAUUGUUUUCCGUCAAUAAUGUUUUUCUUUUUUUGAAAAAAGAAACCAGAAAAACGACUGUACCAGGCUACCAAUAAUUAAAUCGCAUAGUUAACACGUACACUAACUUAUUAUCAAAUACCACUAUCAGACUUCACGUGUGUAAUCCUAUACCAAAAUAUUUACAAUAACAACAAUACAGAAUUAGAAAAAGAAGAAACUAAAUCAAAGAUGACACGAAUCCAUUGGUUACAAGAUAAAAGGCAUAGGCAGUUCCUUUUUCUUUUACUAUGUAUUCAAGUUUAAUAACCAUGGAAGAUUUGAGCCUUUUAUUUCAAAAUCUGGAAAUGGACAUUGCGUCUCUCUGAUCAUGAGUGGUUUGGUCUGUGCUUUGAAUAAAUGAGUUCAUUCUUUUCCUUGAGAAAAAUAGGUUUUAGGAGGAUGAUAAUAUGAAGGUAUAAAGGACCUUUUUUUUUCUUCCUUUCAUCCUUUUAGUGUAGCGUAGAUAACAUCAAAUAUAAUUGUAGAAGAGUACAAAUGCCAUGUGAUUAUAGAGAGAGAUUAUAUAUAAUUGCAAUAGAAGUAACUGCAGGAAGGUCCCCACACCUAGGGAGAGAAAAUCUGACUGAAAACUCUCUUCAUUUAAUUAUACUUAAAAAACCUAAUACAUUACUACUUUUGAGUCGUUAUGAUGAAGUAAUAUGAUGAUAAAUUCCAAUAAAAUGGUUCUGACAGCGAUGGGAAUGCUGUAGAGUGCUAAAGCACGAGAAAGAAAGAGAGAAUUUAUUUAUUUUUCUCUUGAAAUGAAUUUUGGAAAAAGUGGAAUACAUAAAAAUACAAGUCGUUUAGGGAGUGAGAGAUUAUAUAAGAUGUGUGUGGCUGUUGAGGGCUCCCUUCCCCUUGAAAAUUUGAAUCAGACCAAAGCCACAACUUUUGUAAAUACCUAUCCAGAGAGGAUUUAACCGGAAGGCGAGGGUAGCUUUUAACGUCUUCCACCUGUCAUUUUCCGUCGUAAUUGCUCACCAAGCAAACAGAAUCUCCAUCUCCCUUCCCAUUUAAUUCACAAUGGACACCGAUACUCUUUUUUUUUAAUAUAUAAAAAUAAAUUGUCCAUAUUAUAUCAAAACUGCUGUUGUGGUUGCUGGAUCAUCUUCGUCUUCUUCAUUGGCUCACCAUCCAACAUUCUCACUGCAAACAACAGACAACCAAACACUAUAACCGACGCCAACGUUCCUCCCCCUGCCUCUGCCUCUGUCAUCCAAUCAAAUUCCACUGCAUUAUGCCACCACUAACUCCACUCUCAUUCCUUUUCAAACUAUUGCUUCAUCAAACUGAAAAUAAACAAUGUUGGAUAACAUCAUGAAUCCUUCAAUUGACAAAAUUCAAAGUGGAGAUUCACCCAUCAGUAAGCACAAUAAUGACACAAAAAUGAUUUUAAUGCUCAAUAUUCUUAUGGUAACCUUUGGAGCAGACAAUUCAAAAUGUACCUAAUAUAUGUAAUAUAUAUUUUGUUGUGUUGUUGAUUGAUUGGUUGAUUUAAAAGGCCCCCCCUUGUAUGUACGAGCACCCAGAAGAAAGGAGAAAAAAAGGAAAAACAAAUUUAUUAUUUGAGCCGUCUUUUUGUGCGCGUGAACUUUGGUUUGCAGGUGUUCUCCCGUGAACUCAUUUAAUUAAUAGAUAUAAUAUAACUUUAAAUAAUUCUAGCUUCCAUUGUUUUCUUCUGCUUUAUUUUUUUAAUUUAUUAAUUAUGAAUGAAAUGGCCAACAUCACCAAUCGAGAAACCAUAACUCUUCAGGCAAAUCAGCUGCACAUAUACAAUCAAUCCAUUUUUAAACAUACAUUUAUCUCCGUGCAUUUCACUCCUCCUCACAUUCACACAAAAUAGUAAAUAAAUAUUCAAACACAGAUCACUUGCCAAAUUACCAUUAAACAAUUCAAUAGGAUCCACCCAAUAUAUUGUAGCCACCUAACUAUUUUGCUUUCAUUUUCCCCAUUAUACCCAGAAACCAUGGUGUGUGGUGUGGUGAUUCUGGUGAUGUGUUCGGUUAGGUUCACCAAAUCACAUUUUUGGACAUAAAAAAUAAUAAUAAACAAUAAAAUAAAAUACAAACUGACCCAACUACCUGCUCACCUAUAAACAAUUGCACAUUCCAGAUGGCAAAAUUUCAUGAAUAUAUUCUGUUGUUUCUGUAAUUUGAUUUUUUAAAGUGGGUUUUAGAGAGAUCUCAAAAAUUGCUCCUUUAGGAACAAGGGUGUUCACGGAUCAUUCUAGAAUUUGAAGUCAGGACAAACCAAACACAAAAGUUUUGUCCAUAUCAUUCACGAAGAAUAAAGUAACUGAUAUGGAAAAAUUCCCACCUUUUGAGGUUUUUACGGUUGUGGCUGAGGCUGGACUGCUGCUCCAGCGCCAAUUCCGUCUUCUCUGUGGCUAUUAAGUGCGAAUUUACAUUUCGGCCAAACCUUUGUCCUGCACGUGAAUUCUUCAGCUAUAUGAUCUUUCUUUUAUUGCUACUUUUACUAUAUUAUAUUAUUAACUCCAAUGACGACUUAACAUCUAAGAUUAUAAAGCAUAUAACUAAUAACCAUAUGCUGCAUAAAAAAAUCGGAAAAUUAAUGACAUAGACCAGAAAGAAUCCUCGUUCUCCUUGGAUUUAACUUUCUUUUCCGUCAUUCUUCAGAAAAGAACAGUCCAGACUUUUACCGAGUAAUAUCGUUUCAUUUUAAUGUGAACUUUGUUGGAUAAAUAUUGUGGCAUUUGAGAAAGAAUUAAAGUGAAAGGAAAAGCAUUAUCUUUUUGUGAAAACAAAAGAAAGUUAUGAUUUACUUGACUAAAAAAGUUGUGGUAGGAAGAGGUCAAGACACAGAACAGUUAGAAGAAGAAGAAAAGAUCAAUAGCUAGAAAAUUUUAAAAUUUGAAAGAUUUGAGGAGGAAAAUGGUUUGUCCCCACAUGGUUGGUGUGUAAGAAGUGUGCAAGUUUUAAGCUUCCAAUUCACAGUGUACAUACAAAAAGCCAUGCUGGCUAAAAUUCACGGACGAGAGUUCCAUUCCAACAGAGAGAGAGAGAGAGAGGUUUGUUUCUGUAGGACAAGAUCUGAGGGCUAGGAAGAGACACAGAAGUGUGAAUUAAUAAAUUUGUGGUGUGAUCUCUCUAAUGAGCAACACUUCAACAGGCCAAGCCAUAUGACCCAUAAGCUAUAGUCACAUUCAAUAUUUUCAUCAUGUUCUUUUGUUUUUUCUCUCAUCUCAAUAUUCACAUCGCUCUAGAAACCAAUCCUCCACUAAUAUAGUCACGUUCUCAUUGUUAUAAAUUAUAAAGUAUAUAUGAAAUGAUUUGUCAAGUACUUAAAAAUAAACCAAAACAACCACUCAAGCUAUUGGAUUGUGCAAAAUUAUAAAUCUUAGUUACAUGCAAAAGACAAGUUUAUUUUAUCAAUGAAAUGACUUGGGCGUCUGUAGGAUUUGCUUUUAAAAAAUUUCUUGUAUUGGACAAACAGCACAUCUAUCAUAUAGAAUUUGGUAGAAACUUUAGCUGAAGGGUUCACGAGACUUAAGCAGGAAGAAAUUUGUGGGCAGCUGACUUUAUACGUUUCUCACUAUGUUAGGAUACUAACAAUAAUUUAGACUGAAAGGACUGUAUAAAUGGCUUAAACAGAGGCGGUACUCUGGUUUACUUUAUUUAUAUAUAAAGCCAAAUGAUCCAGAUUCACAAGAUGAAAAGAAAUAACAAGAAACAACAAGGAAAAAUGCAGAAAAGAUCAUACCAGCCUCUUGGUUUUAAGAGACCCUGGUGGCUGCUGUAGCCCUACCUCCUAAAAGUUAAAAAUACCCUAGCUACUCCAACCUAAUAAUCCUAUUUAUAGACUCACAUAUUCCUCAGCCCAGUGGGCCCUACCACUCAGAACGUCCUUCCAAUCAUUUCUCCAUAAUAAUUCCCUGUGCAGUUACUUUUCUACCCUUCCUCCUAUAAGUAUGGAUAAUUGGGGGUCUUACAAUACCCCUCGGUUCCAAGUUCACCUUGUCCUCAAGGUGGAAGGUGGGAAACUGUUGAUUCAUUUGGUACACUGCUUCCCAGGUAGCCUCGUUCUCCGGUAGUUCUUUCCAUUUCACCAACCACUCGUUGGCCCCCAAGUCCUUAUUCCAUCGAAUGCCCAGUACGGUUUCUGGUUGUAGCUGUAGUUCAAACUCUUCCGUUAGUACUGGUUGUUGGAUUUGUACUACAUGUGUUUUUCCCAAUUUCAGUUUCAGUUGGGAAAUAUGGAAGACGUCAUGAAUGGAAGCUUCGGGCGGUAACUGCAGCCUAUACGCCACUUCUCCAAUUUCUUCAAUUAUGCGGUAAGGUCCAUAGAAUUUAGGGGCCAACUUCUCCGACCUCUUUCGUGCUAGAGAAUGUUGCCUAUAGGGUCGAAGCUUGAGAUAUACCUCAUCUCCCACCUUGAACUUAAGUUCCCUCCUCUUAGAGUCUGCCAUUUUCUUCAUUCGGUUCUGCGCCACGUUCAGGUUCUCCUUUAGAGCAAUCAGUGCUAAAUCCCUCUCUUUCAGCAUUAGUUCCACCUCAUUGUGAGGAGUCUUGUGAUUGCCGUAUGAUAGCAGCGGAGGAGGUGAUCGUCCAUAUACAAUCUGGAAGGGAUUUGAUCUUGAGGAGGCAUGGAAAGUUGUAUUAUACCAUAGUUCUGCCCAGGGAAUGAACUUAUUCCACUUUGUCGGCUGCUCAUUACAAAAACACCUCAGAUAAGUUUCUACACAACGGUUUACUCUUUCAGUUUGUCCGUCCGUUUGAGGGUGGAAUGCCGUACUUCUUUUUAGAAGGGUUCCCAUGCUAGCAAAUAUUUCUUUCCAAAAGUUGCUUAUGAAAAUUUUAUCCCUAUCGGAAAUGAUUGACUUAGGUAUUCCAUGUCUACUCACUACCCGGUCAAUAAACACUUCAGCCACUUGCCUUGCAUUGAAAGGAUGCCUCAUGGUGAUAAAAUAGGAGUAUUUGCUCAGCCUGUCCACAAUUACCAUUAUUACAUUCAUACCUCCUGCUUUAGGUAGCCCUUCAAUGAAGUCCAUGGACCAGUCUUCCAAGAUUCUUUCUGGAAUUGGAAUUGGCUGCAGAACUCCAGCUGGUUUAGUUGCUUCCAACUUAUUUCUCUGGCAAACCUCGCAUUCUUGCACAUAUUUUUUUACAUCCGCCUUCAUACCCUUCCAAUACAAUUCCCCACACAUCCUUUUAUACGUCCUUAAGAACCCGGAAUGGCCUCCCAAAAUGGAGUCAUGAAAUGUAUGUAGUAAGGUGGGGAUCAGAGUGGAUUCUUUUGACAACACAAUCCGCUUCUUAUACCAUAGGUUUCCAUUCACCCAUUGGAAUUUACUAGGCUCAUCAGGAUUCUGUUUUAAUUCUUCAAUGAUUGCCUUAAGCUCUUCAUCUAACUCAACCUCUUUCUCUACCACCUCCAUGUUGACAAUACCCGUGGUGGACAUAUUCUUCAUUUCCACUGGUUGUUCUAUUCGGGAGAGGGCAUCGGCUGCUUUGUUUUGUAGUCCGGGUUGGUAAAGUAUUUCGAAGUCAUACCCGAGGAGUUUAGUCAGCCACUUCUGGAAUUGGGGUUGCACUUCCCUUUGCUCUAAAAGGAACUUGAGGGCCCUCUGAUCUGAGAUGAUUGUAAACUUCCUUCCCAAGAGGUAAUGUCUCCACUUCUGUACUGACAGAACCACAGCCAUCAAUUCCCUCUCAUAUAUGGACUUGGUUUUUGCUCGGUUUGAUAGUUUUUGACUGAAAAAAGCUAUGGGAUGGCCAUUUUGAGAUAGAACUGCCCCUAAAGCAAUCCCCGACGCAUCUGUUUCAAUGAUGAAAGGCAGGUUCCAAUCCGGUAGAGCUAGUACGGGUAGGGUUGUCAUGGCUAAUUUCAGCUUAUCAAACGCCUCUGUUGCUUCUUCCCCCCAUAGGAAUGAGUUCUUUUGUAAUAAUUUGGUCAGCGGUUCUGCCAUCUCCCCAUACCCUUUGACGAAUCUUCUGUAGUAACCUGUCAACCCUAAGAACCCCCUCAAUCCGGUUACAUCUUUGGGUUGGGGCCAAUUUACCAUGUCCUUGAUCUUGUCUCCAUCAGCUUCAACCCCUCUACUGGAUAUUAAAUGCCCCAAAUACUGAAUCUGUGAAUGGGCUAUUACGCAUUUUUUUUUGUUAGCAACUAACUGGUUAUCCCGCAUUACUGCAAAAACCAUGGCCAAAUGCUUUUCGUGUUCUGUGAGAUUCGUGCUGUAUAUCAAUAUAUCAUCAAAAAAUACCAGUACACAUCUCCUGAGGAAGGGUUUAAAGACCAGAUUCAUUAAAGAUUGGAAAGUAGCUGGUGCGUUAGUGAGGCCGAACGGCAUGACCAGAAACUCGUAGUGUCCUUCAUGGGUUCUGAAUGCUGUCUUUUCCACAUCCUCCUCCUUCAUCCGUAUCUGAUGAUAUCCAGAUUUGAGAUCCAGUUUUGAAAAAACAGUGGCCCCAUGCAGUUCGUCUAGCAAUUCCUCUAUCACGGGUAUUGGAAAUUUAUCCGAUAUGGUUACUUGAUUUAAUUUUCUGUAAUCAACACAGAAUCUCCACCCUCCGUCUUUCUUUCUUACCAGCAACACAGGACUCGAGUAAGGGCUGUGACUGGGUCGUAUUAUCCCAACUUGGAGCAUUUCAGAUAUUAACUUCUCGAUUUCUUCUUUUUGUGUGUGGCCAUAUUUGUAAGGUCUCACAUUGAUAGGUUUCUGGCCGGUUACCAGCAAAAUACGAUGGUCACACUCCCUUUUUGGUGGUAAUCCCUUCGGUUCUUCGAAUAAAUCCGUGUACUGCUGGAGUAAGACUUGAAUCAUUGGAGAUUCUUCCUCAUCCCCCUUUACUCUCUGUACUUCAUCCAAUUCCCCAUCUUCCUCUGCCUCAUAGUUCUGCAUUUCGAGUAAGAAGCCUUGGUCGUCCUCUUCCCAUGUUUUUUCAAUAGUUUUCAGAGAGCACUCUGCCCUAAUAAGUGAAGGAUCUCCUUUUAAGAUAAACUGUUUUUUUUCCCAUCCGAAAUGUCAUGGUCAAGGAUGGCCAGUGUAUCUUCAUGGUUCCCGUUGUGUUUAACCAUUGCAUCCCUAGAAUCACAUCUACACUCCCCAGUUCAAUUGCUAAAAAAUCAGCCACGAUUGUGAUCUCUUUAAGUUUUAGUUCUAACCUGUUACACACGCCUCUUCCUUGGCAUCUUGUACCAUCUCCGAUAGUGACUCCAAACGGAGUAUGAUUCUCUAACUCCAGUCCCACUUCCUCCACAAUUUUGUUGUGUAUGAAAUUGUGGGUGGCCCCACUGUCAAUCAGUAUCAAUACUUCUUUCCCUUUAAUUUCGCCUUUGAUCUUCAUCGUUCCUUUACUUGUUAGGCCAUGUAUUGCCUUUAACUCAAUUUCGGUUCCCUCCUCCAGUGUAAGCUGAUUCAACUCUAAUACUUCUUCAUUAGUUUCCUCUGUUCUGUCUUCGUCUUCCAGACUUUCUUCUUCAUUCAUGAUAAACAGCAUCAGCUCUCUUUUGUCCUUCAUUUUGCAUCGAUGUCCAGGGGAGUACCUUUCAUUGCAUUUAAAACACAGACCCUUGUCAAGUCGUGCUCUGAAUUCCGCAUCCGAUAAGCGUUUCACUGGUGGUUCACUCUUCUGGUAGUUGCCUUUAAUGGGAAUUGUCACCUGUUUCAAAGGAAACUCUGUUUUCCUGGUGAUUCCCUUCUCCCCACCUUCUGGACCCUUGUUCGUGCUUCCUUCGCCUUUUUUGUAAUUCCGUCCUCCCCCUUCUGCCUUGGACCAUUGCAGGGCUAAAUUUCUGUCGUUGACCAGCUGUGCCUCUCUCAUACACUCCUCCAAUGUUAGUGGAUUGCGGCUCACGACUUCAGCUUGCAGGUUCGGCUCUAGCCCAGUCAGGAAUGCAUCCCUUAACACACUCUCUGUCAUGUGGGGCAGGGGUGCUGAAUAAUUAACAAAUUUCUUUACAUAAUCAUUGUAGGAACCGUCUUGUUCAAUCCUGAUCAGUCUCGCCACUAAACUCUUCUGCCCUGUGUCUUUAAAAAAAUCAAACAUCCUUUCUUUUAGAUCCUCCCACGACUCCACCUUCCUCCGAUUGUGUGACCAUCUGUACCAGUCUACCUCAUCUUGUCCAAAGCUGACUACUGCUACCUUGACCUUUUCGGUCUCGGGUAGAUUAUUGAUCUCAAAAAAAUGCUCUGCCCUGUAAACCCAAGAUUCCGGGUUUUCUCCCAAGAACAUUGGCAUCUCUAAUUUCUUAUAUUUACUACGGUCACCCAUGGUCAAGUUCCCUUCGUUAUGAACAUCGGUUUCCUCAGCUUUUCCCUUCAGUUUCAUUACUGAACCGUCGGAGGUCCCAGAUUCCUCCCUUCUUUUGUAGCUAUGGUUCUCUCUUAGAUCCUCAGCCAUUCGUUCCAUUGCUUUUUUCAUUUCUAACAGCAUCUCUUUCAGACCCAUUAUUUCCUUCUCAGUUCCAUCCACUCUGUCUUCUAUUUGUCUCUGCGCCAUUAGUCUAGUAACCACCCCCAGUUUUUUCGGGCUCUGAUACCAAUUGUUAGGAUACUAACAAUAAUUUAGACUGAAAGGACUGUAUAAAUGGCUUAAACAGAGGCGGUACUCUGGUUUACUUUAUUUAUAUAUAAAGCCAAAUGAUCCAGAUUCACAAGAUGAAAAGAAAUAACAAGAAACAACAAGGAAAAAUGCAGAAAAGAUCAUACCAGCCUCUUGGUUUUAAGAGACCCUGGUGGCUGCUGUAGCCCUACCUCCUAAAAGUUAAAAAUACCCUAGCUACUCCAACCUAAUAAUCCUAUUUAUAGACUCACAUAUUCCUCAGCCCAGUGGGCCCUACCACUCAGAACGUCCUUCCAAUCAUUUCUCCAUAAUAAUUCCCUGUGCAGUUACUUUUCUACCCUUCCUCCUAUAAGUAUGGAUAAUUGGGGGUCUUACACACUAUCUCCCAAGUCUAUUGAGUUCGUCAAAAUCAUGAAAAACUUGUAUUAGUUCACUAGAAGAACUAACUCGAGAAAGUUUAGAGAUACUCUGAUGGAAGGAAAAUAGACCAAUUCUUCUUUGGAGAUGUAGAGUCUAGUAAAUCGAUUGGACAAGCUAAAAAAUCUUAGGCAUUUCAUUUGAUGAGUCGCAUCAUAAUAGGUAAAAAGAUAAUUUGUUUUAAAAUUUAAUUGUCUAAUAUGAAUCAAAACAAUAGUUAUUUCAAUGUCUAAUAUGAAUCAAAACAACAGUUAUUUCAAUCUUUAAUAUGAAUCAAAAUAACCAUUACAUUCUAACUAAAUCAGAGAAUCAACACAACAGCUACUAGUUGGUACUACUCAAACCUCGUUAUUUCAAUCUUCUCUCUUUCUUAAGAACAUGGAUCGCACUGCAGUCCCAAAAUCCUCUUCCCUUCUCAUGGAUUUUCCAAAAUCCAAUAAAAGAGUGGUCUACUUUUCACGAUGAUUAUUCUCCCAUUCUGUGUUCUUGAAAAUAAAAAAUAAAAAAUAAACUCCCAAUUUUAUCCGAUGAUUCCACAAGGUUCACUUACUCUCUUCUAGGAAUCUGCUUUUCAUCUAUCUUCAUGUACAAGGAUUCAUUGUCCUUCAGCCUUAAAAUUAAGUUUUACGGAGAUGUUGUUCAAGUGUAAAUUUAAGGAACUCGCAUCUAGCCUUUAUCAUUGUUCACAUCGAUCAUUGUGAAGUGAAGCCUAUUUUGACAGUGUACGUAGUCUAAAAUUUGCCUUCAAGACAAUUUCAAAGUAUGGUUAUGACAGGGACGCCCACGAUACUCUUCAAGCCCAAUUCAAAUUCUCUCACCUAGUCCAUAGGCUCCUUGAUAGUAAUAUGGUUUUAUUAAUACACUGUCUAUUUCAAUCGCCUCAGUCAAAUGAUUUUAACUUGAGUGCUUAGAUUGUGCUUUGUUAACGACUGGUCCCUGGAGUUUUUCAUUUCCAUUUAGUUAUGGCUAAUUGUUUACAAUAUUCAUAUAUUCUAUAAGUGUGAAUCGUAUGAUCAAUCUUUCGGUUAAUGAGUUAGUGAUGUCAGUUGGUUAGCCUCAUUAGACCGUCAUUAGACAAUUUUAUGUUUAUGCACUUUUCUAGUUGACCAUUUAUAUUAGCAAUCCUAUGUCGUGUGACUUAAUUUUACUCCAGUUGCAGAGUCUGCUUCAUUUUAAUUCCAUUUUUCACCCCACCACAAAGCCAAACUAAUAGACCACCAAUUAUUUUACAAUAUAGUAGGAGGAAAAAGGGAACAGUUGCACGUGCACAAGAGAAGGGAAAUGAAGAAAGAAGUGGAAACCAUCUUGGCAAGGACCACGGUUAGUUACAUGGGAGGGAGUUAAAAGGGAAAGAAGGAAGGGAAGAGAGGGGCAGUUAAUCAGUUUCUGGAAGUGGAGGGCUGUAAUUUCCUGGAGAACAGGGAAUGCAGAAAGUGUUCAGUUUUGGUAGUUUGUAGCAAAUUAUUUCCACUAUCGUGAAGUAUUUUUCUGUUUUGAUGUUUUAUGUUGAAUUCAAUUAAUUUUUGUAUUAGUUCUUGUGUUGUUCUUUGUUUUCAAGGUUGCGUUUGUACUGUUUUCUGUACCGAUGUAUUCUAAGAAUCCGGUAACCUCGUUCCCUAUUUUAUCUUUUUACUAUGUGAGUGAGAAUGCUAGUCCAACCACACUUGGAGCUAUUGUCCAAUCAAGUAUACCUCAGUCCUUUAGUCUCAUUAGUAUUGAUGGUAAGAACCUUUGGAUCUUGGACUCUGGUGCCACAAAUCAUUUAAUCGGUUCCUCUGAACACUUUGUGUCCUACAUUCCGUGUGUCGAAAUAAGAAGAUAAGAAUUGCUGAUGGCUCCUUGGCUCCCAUUGCCAGGAAAGGGCAUAUUUCUCUUUUUGACGGGUUCUCAUUACACAAUAUGUUGCAUGUGCCACGAAUUUCAUAUAAUCUUCUGUCGAUUAGCAAGAUUACUCGUGAACUAAACUGUAAAGCAACAUUCUUAUCCGAUUCAGUUUCUUUUCAGGACUUGAGCUCAGGAAGGAUGAUUGGCAUCACCCGACACAAUAGGGGUCUUUACUUACUUGAUGAUGAUGCCCCCUUUAGUAGUAUUUCUAGGAACAAUCUUUUAUCAUCCUACUUUACAACUUCUGAAAAAGACCUUAUGUUGUAGCAUUUCCGUUUAGGUCAUCCCAACUUUAAAUAUAUGAAAUAUCUAUUUUCUCAUCUUUUCUCCAAAGUUGAUGUUUCUUCUUUAUCUUGUGAUAUAUGCAUACAAGCUAAACAUCACCGAGUCUCGUUUCCUUUACAACCCUAUAAGCCAACUCGACCUUUUACUCUUGUCCAUAGUGAUGUUUGGGGACCAUCCAAUGUCACUACCUCCUCUGGAAAACGAUGGUUGGUGACCUUUAUUGAUGACCAUACUCGUCUUACUUGGAUUUUCCUGAUCUCUGACAAAUCUGAAGUUACCUCCACAUUCCGAGACUUCUAUCACAUCAUAGAAACGUAAUUCAAUAUUAAGAUUGCAAUUCUGCGAAGUGAUAAUGGUCGUGAGUUUCAAAACCACUCUUUUAACGAGUUCUUAUCCUCUAAAGGAAUUGUUCACCAAAGUUCCUGUGCUUACACCCAAAAAAAAAAAAAGAGUUGCCGAACGAAAAAAUCGUUACCUUUUGGAAGUUGCUUGUUCUCUUAUGUUCUUCACUUCUCUUCCUUCCUAUCUUUGGGGUGAUGACAUUCUUACUACCGCUCAUCUCAUAAAUCGCAUGUCUUCUCGUGUCCUUCACUUCCAGACACCGUUAGAUUGCCUCAAAGAAUCCUAUCCCUCCACUUGUCUCAUCCCUGAUGUUGAUGUUCCCCUUCGGUUGUUCGGCUGCACUAACUAUGUCCAUAGCCAUGGUCCUACCCAAACUAACUUUACCCCUAGGGCUCAGGCUUGCGUGUUUGUUGGAUAUCCUCUACAUCAAUGAGGUUAUAAAUGCUUUCAUCCAUCUUUACGUAAGUACUUUGUUACCAUGGAUGUCACAUUUAUUGAAGAUCAUCCUUUUUUUGCCCGUUAGCCUACUUCAGGGAGAGAAUGUGAGUGAAGAGUCUAACUAUAUACUUCCCUUAAAGUCUUCUUAUCCUACUAUGGUUACCUUACCAGACCCUAGCCCUCAUAGUACAGUCCUACCAACAAAUCAAGUUCCUUGGAAAACCUACUAUAAGAGGAAUCUCAAAACGAAAGCUAAGUCUCCUAUUGUUCAGACGGCUCCGGUGUAGAAUUCUGAACCAAUAAGAGAUCAAGGUAUGACUGAUUCAAUUAAUUCAUAUAGUAAUAACAGAACAUGUGAGAAUGACGAGUCUGAGACAACUGUUAUGAAAAAUAUGGGUGAGCAAGGCAGUAUUGAGGAGGCCGUUAUAGACAGAGAGGACAUAAUUAUUGAGAACGAGGUUGUUGCUGAACAUACUGAAAAUAGUAGCAGGUAUGAUUCAUCUUUUGAUCUUCCUAUUGCACUGAGGAAAGGUACAAGGUCAUGCACAAAGCACUCCAUAUGUAAUUAUGUGUCAUACAAGAAUCUCUCACCACAGUUGAGAGUUUUUACUGCCAGCCUUGACUCUAGCACAAUACCGAAAAAUAUUCACACUAUUAAAGUCCAAUCUAUUGUUGUAAACAAAGAUUGGCCUCUAUGCCAGUUGGAUGUUAAGAAUGCUUUUUUGAAUGAAGACCUUGUGGAAGAAGUCUACAUGUGCCCUCGCCUGGAUUUGAAGCCCAGUUUGGUCAGCAGGUGUGUAAACUCCAGAAAUCCCUAUAUGAUCUAAAACAGUCUCCUAAAACAUGGUUUGACAGAUUCACUACAUUUGUCAAGUCCUAAGGGUAUAGUCAGGGGCACUCUAAUCAUACUUUAUUUACAAAGGUUUCCAAGACAAGAAAGAUUGUUGUUCUAAUAGUUUAUGUGGAUGACAUUGUUUUGACUAGAGAUGACCAAGCAAAAAUCAGUCAACUAAAGUAGAGAAUGGAUGAUGAAUUUGAAAUCAAGGAUUUGGAAAAUUUGAAAUAUUUUCUUGGAAUGGAGGUGGCCAAAUCUAAAAAAAGUAUUUCCGUGUCUAAGAGGAAAUACACCAUUGAUUUGCUAACCGAGACAGGUAUGUAGGGAUGUCGUCCCGCUGACAAUCCUAUUGAAUUUAACUGCAAACUAGGAAACUCUGAUGAUCAAUAUCAGUGCCUUGUGGGUAAAUUAAUUUACUUAUUUCAUAAUCGUCCUGAUAUUUCCUUUGUUGAGUAUUGUCAGCUAGUUUAUGCAGGCUCGAUGCUCCUUAUGAGGAACACAUGGAAGCGGUCAACCGAAUUUUGAGAUAUUUGAAAUCAACACCUGGUAAAGUGUUGAUAUUUAGAAAGACCAUUGAGGCAUAUACUGACUCGAAUUGAGCAGGAUCUGUUGUUGACAGAAAGUCUGCCUCCGGUUAUUGUACCUUUGUUUGGGGCAAUCUGGUAACUUGGAGAAGUAAGAAGCAAAGUGUUGUGGCCAUUAAUUUUCUUAUUAUAGAAAUUUAAGCAGUAUAGGGACCUGUUUGAAUCUUGUUCUUCCUGUACAAUUGCAUUGGUUGAUCCAGGGAUGUGAUUUUCGUCAGCUUUAAGUUGCAGCUGUGACUUGUACAGUUGAGAGAAAUCCCAAGGUAUCCAGACCUAGUGAUGACAAAUUGCAGAUGAUGCUUCUAGCUUUGAAUUGGACAUUGAACCCAUGGCAGAUACCUCGACGGAAGAUCACAUGAAUUUGGUGUCCCAAUUCUGCAAUAUUAGAUCCAUCGUUUUUCUUUGAACUGGUUGUUGCUGUACAUGGUCCUCUGCCUAAAAGGGGAAGAGCGCUAUCAAACAUUCAGGCAAAUGUUGAAUGUAUUUCUCUUUUAUUUUAUAGACAAUGACGCUGCUCACCAUUUGCUUCCUGAACCACCAAUGACAACGAACCCUUCAAUGCAAGGCCGUUAAGGAAACGUUCUGUCUCAGCCGGGGGAACCUGCAAAUCGAGCUGAGAAUCAAUUGGUGCCACAAAUUUUGUCCGUCGAGCUAAUAUUUGCACAGUGAUGGAAAUAAGAAAGAAUACGUUGCAUUAACAAAAUAAAAAACUAAACAGAUACAGUUUGUAGUAACUUCCAAAUCAAAUACAUACUUGACCUGUCCAUUACGACAACGAAAAAGAUAAACCACUUACCACACAAACCUCUAACUGAGAUGCAACUACUCAUAAUAUCCAACAUUGAGGAGAAAAUUGUGUUCAUCGGCUAAAAGUGAUCCUAUCUAUAGUUAUUAGCACAAGCACUUUUUCCUCAGUAUCGAGUAACAUCAGGCAACCCAGUCUCAAUAAAAUGGGUUAAUAUCAGCUCGAAAGAAAUUGCAGAUAAAUUAAGCUUUUACUUACUGUCAGACUACUUGAGAGUAGAUAAAAUUUGCCUUAAUCUCCGUUAAUGAGAAAUGGCAGUAUAGAUAUCCAAUGGGAGUUACAAAAUGUGAGGUGGCAAUGAUUUAACCACCAAUAACAGAAUUAAUAUUCAACUGAUUGACAAUAUCCUAAAAACUCCCCCUCAAGAUGAACUUAAUAUAUUCAAAAUUCCCAUCUUGGACAAUACAAGUUUAAAAGAACAUGAAGGUAAUGCCUAGGUGAAAAUGUCAGCAAGCUGGGAAGAACUUUGAAUAGGCAUCAGUCUGACGUCUCCUUUUGCUGUAUGGUCACAGAUAAAAUGGCAAUCAAGCUUGAUGUGCAUCGCUCUUCCAUGAAAAGUUGGAUUUGAAGCUAUGUGAAUAGCAGCAGAGCUAUCACAAAACAACAAGGGAGGAGCUGGUAUGCUGACUUGUAAGUCUUUAAGUGAUCGAACAAGCCAAGAAACUUCACUGACAGUGGCUGCCAAUGCCCUGUACUCAGCCUCAGCAGAUGAACUUGAAACUGUCGUUUGCUUCUUUGACUUCCAUGAGACCAAAAAAUCACCAAGAAAUACACAAAAUCGGGGUGUACACUUGCGAGUAUCAAGGCAAGAAGCCCAAUCAGCAUCACUAAAGGCACUAAUCUGAAAGAAGCUUAAAGCUUAUAGGAAAACCCCUUGUCCAGGAGUUCCUUUGAGAUACCAAACAAAGUGCGAGCUGCUGCAAGUGUGACUGUCUUAGGUUUGCAACAUAUUGACUGAGCUUAUGUACUGCAAACAUGAUGCCAGGGUGACUAACUAUAAGAUAUAAUAAUCAUCCAAUGAGACGCCUACAGAAGGAAGGAUCCUCGAGUGGUUUGCUAUAUUCAGCUCGUAGUUUUAUGUAUCCACAGGAAGAGAUGCUGGUUCUGAGGCAAGAAAGCCACUGUCUUUUAGAGAAUAACCAACAGUGAACUAAUAAUAUUCAACUGAGUAACAAUAUCCUAAACUUACCUUCCAAAGAUCCAAGAAAGAAACCUCCAGGUGGCAGGCAAUGGCAUCACUGUACUCAGUUGUAGCAGUCUGUCCGUGCUAUUGAUUCCACUAUUCGGAAGUCCCAAGUUAACAGUGACUUUUUACUUCUAUUAAACUGUGACCAAUUUCUCUUACCACUUUUUUUGUCAAUGCAAUUUCUCUAAGUUGCUUUGAAGUUUCAAAAUCUCCAAUAUCAGAAUAGAAAUUUGAAGCCUGCAAAAGAAUGGCAGGAUCUUCAGCUUCGAGGUCCACCAACCACUUUACAAUUUUCCUUCCGAUUGUUUCAUUUCUAUGGACUCUACAACUUCUUAACAUGGAGCUCCAGAUUACACCGUUGACCUUUUCAGGCACCUUUUGAAUCAACUUUUCAGCCUCAUCCAGUAGACCUGCACGACCAAGAAGAUCAACCAUACAUGAAUAGUGUUUCCAGUCUGGUUCAAUUCCGUAAAGGGUUUUCAUCAACUCAAACACAAAUCUUCCUUCUUCGACCAGUCCUGAAUGGUUGCACCCUAUCAAUGCACACAAGAAAGUCACUUUGUCAGGUUUCAGGCCUCUCUGGAUCAUCAUCUUGAGUAUUUCAACACCCUCCUUCCCGAGUCCAUUUCGAGCAUAUCCAUUGAUGAUCGAGGUGAAACAAAUGACACCAGGGGAAUAGAUUUCCUCAAAAACUUUCCAAGAGAGCUCAACAUGACCACAUCUUGAAUAAGAAUCCAUUAAAGAACAAGAAACCACGGAGCUAAAUUCAAAGCCUGAUUUUAUGGCACAACAGUGGAGCAAUCUACAUCUGCUCAAGUCUGGUGAACAUAUUGAUAUUGCUUUUAAUGUUGUAGAUAGAGUAACCUCAUCAAGUCCAAUUCUCUCGUCAACCAUCAAUCCAAACAUCUCGAUCACAUCUUCAAUGACACCACAGUGUAACAAAGAUGUCAUUAAAGAGUUGCAACACUCCAAAGUUCUCACAGAAAUACUUUCAUAAACGGCCACUGAACUCUCAAUAUCAAGGCAUCUUCCGUACAUAUUUAUCAAGGCCGAUUGAAGGUGGCUACUCUCAUGACCAAAACCCAGUUUCAGAGCACAAGAUUGAAUCUGUUUCCCCAACUGGAUAUUCCUUGUCCGACUAGAUAAAUUCAAAAGAGCCAUUAACGACCGAAUUGAGGGCCUUUUCCCCCAAAACUGCAUCCGAGAAAACAGCUCAAGUGAUUCAGACAAGAAACCGACGUCUGCAUAAACUGCAACAAUAGAAUUCCAGGAAAUAACAUUAUCUAAUGGAAUACAUUCAAAUGCAUUUUUUGCUUCUGUUAAACUUCUGCAAUCAGCGUAGAAAUCCACCAAAGCAUUUUGAACAAAAAUAUUUGAUUCUACCAAUCCGAUCUUAACAGCACGGUUAUGUAGUUGCUUCCCUUCGUCUAAGAGCUUCUCGUUACCAAAUCCUCGAAGCAAAUAGGAAAAAGUAAGACCAUUUGGCUCUAAGCCUUCCAACUGCAUUUUCGAGAAAAAUCCCUGAAGCUUUUCGAAUUGCCUCAGUUCACAGCACCAACGAAGCAACAAGUUCCAAACAGCUAUAUUUCGCUGCGGCAACUCAUCGAACAGCUUCAAAGCUACAGUAUGAAGACCCAUUCUCAUAUAGAAACCAAUUAGCGAGCUGGCAAUAAACAAAUUCAAAGUAAAUCCAAAAAGAACAACCCUGCAGUGAAUUUGACUUCCUUCUUUGAAAAAAUCCAUGUUGCUACAAGUACCCAAGACUGAAGUAAAUGUUGACGCACUUUCUCUAAUACCUCGUAAAACCAUUUGGCUGUAUAUACCAAAUGCGCGCUGUGGAUAUCCAUUGUGAAGACACCCAGAAAUUAGCAAAUUGUAUGUAACAACGUCAUGAAGAGGCAUUUCAUCGAACAAUUUAAUAGCAGAGUCGAGAUGGCCCAGUUUUAUGAGUUUAUUGAUUUGUCGAUUCUUAAGGUAUAUAAGAUCACGAGCAUGGACAUGCAGACCCAAAGGAGAGUAUGGAUGUGGUAAAUGGAUUGGUGAUGUUGUGGCUACAAAUUCGGAUUUUACAGGAGUAAUAGUUCUGACGAAGGAAGCGAAUUUACUGACCAUUCGCAUCACAGUUUCAGCUUCUCCGAAAGCCGAACAAGGGCUCUAGCUCUACUAUACAACUUAGAAAGGUUUGAUGUGAUCCGUGACCGAGAGGGACCAAAGAAAUGGCGCUUAAAUUGUUGUUCAUAAACAACAGGAUUGUCGUUGAUAUAUUUUAAGUUUUAAUUAAGAGAUUAUCAGUCCUUAUCCACGUCCACAGAGUGAACAGAAGACGGCUUUCUAAAUCUACACUGACAACAGAAAAAAAUAAUAACCCUACCACUUUAUUUCUUCACAAAUAGAAAAUUUUACAAACAACAUUGUAAAUUUUAUCAAGGAUCAAACUUAAAAAAUGUUGGUAUAGUUUGUAAAUAUUUUAAAUAUUUAUUAUUUUUUUAUCUUAACAAAUUUAUAAAAUAUUUUGAAUUAUAUUGUUGAUUUUAUAAUUAUUUUUUAAUUUAUUGAAAAUUUGAUGGGGUAAUUAUAAGUAUUACCCCACGGAUAAUUCUGCAAUUUACCAAAAGAAAAACCAAUUUAAAAAAAAAUUAAGCUUAUUUUUAAAAACUCAAUAACUAAAAAAACCUACAUUAAAAAAGAAAAAAAAAGGCGUACUUUUUGUUAAGCGUCCGAUGGGAAGAAAAUCCAACGGUGGGUGUUAGUAUUGAAAUACGCAGUUCUCUUGACUGAGCCUGGCUUAGAUUUGGGAACAAGAGCCAACCCCUUUCGACCGAGAAGCCGUCGUCUUCACCAUAUUCGCCUGAGCCAUUCGAUAGCCACGUUUGAGGAAGAAUUAGGACUGCCAUGGGGAAGCAACCGGUUCGUAUGAAGGCUGUGGUCUACGCUUUAUCGCCAUUCCAGCAGAAGAUCAUGUCAGGGUUAUGGAAUGACUUGUCCGGCAAGAUUCACCAUAAGAUCUCCGAGAACUGGAUCAGUGCCGCCCUUCUAAUUACUCCUGUCGUCGGCUCCUACACGUAUUCUUUUUUAAACUCCUUGUUCUUUUCCUUAAUUUUCUUAUUUUUUAAAUUUAGAAUUUAGGGUUUGCUUGUCGAAUGGUUUCAUCCUUUCAUAUUUCUAGCUGUUAUCAUUUAAAAAUAUGGAAAAAUAAAAUGAAAUCAUAACUUGUUUUUCGAUGAGCUUGGUAGCUUUGUAUUUUGAUAACUCUUGGUUGGGUCCAAUUUAGAUAAGAUUUUAUUUCUUGAUCAGAUACAAACUGGAAAGGCAUAAUUCGGCGACGUAGAAUUCCUGUAAUGAUUUGGUCUUUUCUGGACUUAGCCUUAGAUCGAAAGUGAAAUAUUUCUCCCGAAGCUAUCAUAUUUGAAAUAUUCGCCUAUACGAAUUUCUACUGAACUGAGGGCAUUUUUUUUUAUAGAUUUCAUCUUAUUGAGCAUACAGGUUUGAUUGAUUGUUUAUUCUUUGGAAUGGAAUAGAAAGCUGUGUUGUUUUUUUUAAAAAAAAAGUAUAGGCAUUACUUUACCUUAUUGAAAUUGUUCCUAGGUCAUGUCAAUCAGAUCUUUGAUCACCCUUCUCGGGUAUGUGUAUAGUUUCAAUUGCUUUAGUCUGUCUUUAAUUAGCAAAACUAGUUCUGUAUUUUGCAUAGGUUGGAAGUAAUAGUAUUUUAGAUAUAGAUUACAGAAAAGACAUUAAGAAGUACCAUCCCCUAAUCCAAGAUUGAUCCGGGCAAGAGGUUUAAAAAAACAAUCCCAAACUCGUGUUGGAUGAUAAUCCAUGUUAUUUAAGUGGGGCGUAAGAAUAAUUUUUUUGGGCAUUUCCAUGCACGAGAAAAGGUAUUUAUAUAAGAAUUUUGAGCACUAGAUGGAAAUGGAAUGGUUUGAAUUUUUGUUUUGGUUUUGGUUUUAUGUUUUUGAAAAUUAUUCUUGUUUCUAACAACUUUCUGAAAGCUUUUCACCUUUCUUGAAAUGCCUAAAGUUUUCCUUUUUAUCUAAAGCGUGCACAUUGCAUCAACAGAUAAAAGAUGUCUCUCAUGCGGUGUUAGUGUUAGACAAGGCCUAAUCUUUCAUGGAUGUUUUUUCCUUCUAUUUUCUUGAAUUUUGAUUGAAGUAUCGUUUGUGUAUAUAUUACAUAUUACACGCAUAGGAUAGAUGAGUUCAUGAAAAUGUUGAAGCAUAUCUUGAUUUUGAUCUCCACGCAAUGAAGGCAUGAUCAUGUCUGUAAAUGGACGCAGGUACGUACAGCAGUACAAGGAGAAGGAGAAGUUGUCUCACAGGUACUGAGCGCCUGGUCCCUUGAUGUGAUAUGCCAUCCCUCUACCUUGAAGAACUUUUGAUCUUUAUCUAUUUUUUUGUUAUAUGCAAAUGGAGCUCUGGUUUGUUAGACUAUGAGGAUGUGCUUUUAUUUUGAGGAACAUUUUCUCUCUUGUUUGUUGGAAUAAAUUACAACAUUUUUUUGUUGUCAAUGUGAACUAUUAUAUAAAGAUCAGUGUUAUAUUCCGUGAUAUCAAAGUAUGACAAAAGCAGGACAGGACCAACAUAUUCAUCCUUUCGUCUACUGAUUAACUUUGUUCUAUUUAUUGUUUUCCCAAUUCCUGCAAAUCGUUUAUCUGGCUUGGCAUACAGAUGGAACAGAUACACUAAUAAAUAUGAUAAGUUCUUAUUACCUCUUUCGACUGGUUUUUUGGAGAAAUCAAUCAAUUUUUUCUCUUGGCAUGAACUAAAAUUGAUUAAGGAAAAUCUAAAAUCAUUUUGAAUUUAUUUUGGUUUAAUUAGUUGAUUGGUGAUUUUUGUGUAAAAUAUUGUUGGGUUGCUAUUUGUGAUUUUUUUUUUUAAAUUCUAGAUAUUGAAAUAAAAGGGGUAUGUCAUUAAGUUUUUAGUAAAACACACAAUUAUAUAUGUUUUGAAUCUUUUUCAUUAUCUGUUGUAAACAUUCACUCCACUCAAAAUAUCAAUAAUGUAUAGAAGAGUUAAGCAACAAAAUUAAAGGCAAAUAUCAAAUUAUACCUUUACACUUCAGUGUUGUAUUAACUUUCACAAAUACAUCAAAACCAUGUACAUUCAUACAAUAUAAUUUAAACCUUCAAUUUUAAAGGGUAAAAGAUAAUGUAUGGUUUAAAUAGGUAUACAAUUAUCAAUUAUCAAUUUAAUUUGAUAUAAACUCUAAAUUAAAAGUUUUCAUAAAAUAAAUAGAAAUAGAUAUUGGUUAUAUCGAUUUUUUUUACCGUAAAGAUUUGAGAUAUUACUUUGUUUUAAUGUUACUGACUUCUAUUUACUCUUGUUUCAAAUAUUUGAUUAUUUUUUAUUUAGCAUGCUAUUCAACAGACAAACUGAUAUACUUUAUCAAUCGGCAUACUUAUUUUUAUCAUAUUUGGCUUCUUCUUUUUUUCUUUCUUUUGUACUAAAAAACUUUCAACUAAUCUCGAUAGUAUAUACUAACUGCAUGGUGUCAACUAAUAUGCCAAUAUGAGGUACGUUAAUUGAUUUUAAGUUUUGCUUAAUUAGAAAUUGGUUGGAGCCUGUGUGUUUAUUUAUAGUUUUGGAAUUUUUUGUGUAGAUGCCACAAAUUCCACCUUCAUCGAUGGAUCCCUUAUUCCUUCAAUCAUCUCGAGUUGGACGCCGUAGCCUCAAGCCAAGCAUCUGAUCUGAAUUUGACGACAAAUCCGACCCACAGGUCUUGAGGAGUUCCACGAGCACAGCGACAACGACUAUACAGCAACAACGACUGCAACUUAAAAAAAAAGGACGCUCGAUCGGAAAGGCAAGCUAGGGCAUUCGAAUCAGUUGAGGGUUUUGCCGGAAGCCUCGUGUGCUUAAUUUAUGAUUGUGCCAAUUGAGGUAACUAAAUGGUUUAACUUAAAAAAUAUUUUUUUAAAAAAAAACAAUUUUUUUAAACAACUAUGUACAAAAUGUAGAAAAAGGGCGGAGUUAGAUUAGAUAACUGGAAAUUGGAAAUCGGAAGUCGAAAUUGGGAGAAGACGGGUUGUUGGGGGAUGCCUUGUUUUAGAGACGAGUCCCUUGCGGUUCGCGCCUAUACAGUUUGCGAUGAGUCAAGGUCCACUCCACCUCUGUUAUUUCUUCUCCGCAUGAUCGAAGGAAGAUCUAUUUAGCUUGUUCAUUUUGAAAUUCAACAGGUAUUUGAUUGUGAGGAACGUCCCGGCAUUGGGUUGUGGAGAUGACUUGCACAAACUGUUCUCCUCCUACGGGAACCUUGAAGAGUAACUUCAAUCCUCGUUUCCCCUUCUUAAUUCCCGUACUUUCUUUUCUAAUUCCUCAGAUGGGAUGAUACUUUUUUACCGCUCCCUCGUCACAUGCUUCCCCCAUGUUUGAUUGGAUUAGCUUCUCAUAAUUUUAAUAACUCACUCAGGUGUAAACCCAUGGAUGCAGAAGAAUGUGAUGAAUUCACAGACGUUUAUUUUGUCAAAUUUCAUUUGGUCACCAAUGCCAGGUAUUUGCACCUUUCUACUGGUUUUUCUUUUGUUUUAAAGAAUGCGUUAUUGUGCCCCUGAGUUUGGACCAUAACAAUUUAGCUUUCAGGUUUGCAAAAAGAAAAUUGGAUGAGUUUGUUUUCCUUGGUAAUCGGCUCCAAGUCUCUUAUGCGCCUGAGUUUGAAAGCUUGCUUGAUACAAAGGAAAAGCUGGAAGUUAGGAGACGGGAAGUUUUAGCACGAUUGGAUUGUAAGUUAUGCUUUGGCAUAUAUAUGUGUGUCUGUGUGUGUGUAUGAUAGGAAGUUGUUGCUUUGGGUACAUUUGGAAGAUAGUAACUUAAAAAUCCAACAAAACCCACGUUAUAGUUCAGAAAUGCCGUUUCCUUCCAAUAGUUCAUUUUUUUUUUUUUUAAGCAUGUAAUAACUUUUGUAUCAGCUGGCAGACCAAGAGGAACUGCAGUUAGUUCAACAACCGCAAAGCUUACAAAUCAAUCUCGCUCUCAUUAUACUCUUAAACAGAAGAACUCCCUUGAAAAGAGGUUUGAGCCAAAUUAAAAAAUUUGCAGUUCCUGCAAACUUGACAAGUUUGUUUAAACUCUCUCUCUCUCUCUAGUAGGAAUUAUGGAGACGCAGCACUCAUUUCCAAUCCCCAUGUUUCUCAAAUAACAAGAGUUUCCUCUGACCAGGUUUGUCACCAUGGCUGUUUUCCUUCCCUUUUCAUGUCAUCUUUUAUGUUACAGUAAUUAUUAACAAUGCUAGCAAACAACUAUUCUGUUUUCUUUUAGUUUAAGCUUCUCUUGUACACGUGAUAUUUGAACAUAAUUCUGUGCUGCAAUAUGGGUGCAAGUAGUUCAGUCCAACAGAUUGCAUGAUUAUGUCAAGUACUUAAGCACCUUGGAGAACCACACCCCAAAAGCUAGCUAUUGGGGUGGGAGAGCCAAACCACUUAAGUGCCACAUUGAUCAUUAGUAGAUUUCUUUGAAAGGUCAAUGCAAUGUGAUAGGUUGCAAGCACAAAAUUAGGAAGCUAGAUGAUUUCUCUUUAUUUGUUAUGUUAUUAGGCACAAAAAUUCUGAGGCAUUGGAGAAGUCUAGGUUCUCCCAACCAUCUGUGAAAAUACUAGUCGGGGAUAUAUUAGGAAUCUUAGUUAGGAUAGUAGAACGGGGAUAGUGGUAUUUAAUUGGUGGUGUCGUGGUUAUCAGUAAGGAGAAUUGGGGACCUUAGAGGGGAAAUGAUUUUGGUAUUAUCGAGUGUAGGACUUUAGAGAGAGACACGGUCCCUCGAAAGGCUAUAAAUAUUGAAAUUUCUUUUGAUAUUGCAAUAUAUUCCUAUCUUUGUGUUUUCUAUUUUGUUCACCAUUAGGAGAAUCCUAACGCCAUCUCCUGAUUUUUCCUUUGUUUCCUUGUACUUUCCUUGCCCUUUUACUAGUCCGUUCAAAUAAAAUAGUGGAGUGAUCUGCAAUCAACCUAGUGGUAUUUUAUUUUAUUCGACUCCUGUACACACCAUAUACACAUACAUGAAACAAGCACUUCUUGGUGUCUAUAGUGCAACUGAAUCACUAAUGAGCCCGUGGAUGGAAAUUAUGGGUAGGGGUCUUGAUUUUCUUUAGAUGAAGCUAGAGCUUCUUGGUGGCUACUGGCUAAAUGGUGUGGUACGUUGUCUGAAGUGAAGUGCAUAGACGUUUGAGAAUGUGGUUUUGCAUCCAAGUGUUGAGAAAAGAAUUUUUUUGGUGACAGGUGAGCAAAAGCCAAAGAUGGAGGUGAUGGAAACAAUAUCUUAAGAAAGAGAUUGUUGUAAUCACUCCACCCCUAAACCCUAAUCUCCAUUCUUCGUCAUUCCUCUUUAGGAACAACCAAGAGCUUUGGUUCCGGAUUCGUGCAAUAAGUUUUUGUGGUUUAAGUCAAAUUUAUCACAAGGGGAAACCAUCAAACCUCUCUGAAGUUUAAAUUCUUUAAAUGUAUAAAAGAAUUCCACGAUAAAGCAAGUAUUGGGAUUUAACUUGUAUGAAAGAUGAGAGUAACUUAUAAAUCUCAGUCUACGAUUGGACUAAUCAAUAGAAUUAACUAACUGGCAUUAACAAUUUGACUAAUUAUCUUAAUCAAAUUAGCUAAUUAGACAAGUCAUAGAAUUAUGUUUCCUGCGCUUGCUAUCUCCGUUCUUUCUUGUCAUAGUAGUUGAUUACCUCUGUAGACAUCUAACGAAGGGCUUAAGAAUAAUAUAUUUCUCUCAUUAUGUUCCUGCGAUGUGUUUUUAAAAGGUAAUAUUGUUUUAUCACAUCUAUGAUAAUUGCCUUGCACUAUCCACUCAAGAAGUGCAAAGGUACGGUUUACCAAGUAUUCUAGAUCACCUAUUCUAGGGGAGACCAUUCUAUAUGCUACCUUUUGGUAUACUUUCAAUUUUUUUCAGUUUCAGGUUAUUGACAAUUUUCUUUUUUCCUUCGAUUGUUUUGGAAGUUUUAUUUCACUUUUGUUUGAUACAGAGCAAUGAAGUCUUUGGUUGUCUAUAGUAAAUUUUGUCUAUCCUAUUGAAUUUUUUUUUUAUGAUGUACGUGUCUUAGUGAUGUUGGUUGGCUCAUUUUCACUAGGUUGGGCAAAAGGUAACGAAGGUUAAAGGAACAUUCUUGAUAAUGGCUUUUGAACCUUCUUGUGCCUAGGUGUUCAUAUUUGCAUGUUACUUCUUUUUCUAUUUUUAUUCUUGUCCUUGUUGCGUAGUCUCUCUCUCUCUCUCUUUUCCUUUUUUCUUUUUUUGUGGCGGAAAAUGUCACUUUAUUCUUGAGUACAGGAUUACUUCGCAUCUGAAUCUAUGAAUCAAACUGUGCAUCUCGUCAGGGAAAAGCUUGAUAAGGUUAUAAAACUUAUAUUCAUAUAAUUUAUUCUCUACAUUUGAGCGCAUUUGUUAUUCAUAUAUUGCUUCUUACCUUUGUGUUUUAGAUUCAAUCAAGCAGCGAACAUCUGCAAGCUGGACCUGCGAGCAAGAAAUCACGUAUGGACAAUAGGAGGAGAAUCUAAUGCUUGCCGACCUCUUUAUAGAGACGGUUAAUAGGUGUUUCAACGUUGUAUCAAAAGUUAUUAUUUUGACAUGUCGCAUAUAGGCAGAUUUGCAGUGUACACAAAUUAAACUGUUUGAUCUUUUAUUCCAAAGGUGGAAAAGGAAUAGCGCAUGCAACAAACUUCUGUAGAGGAGUGUUUUAUUGUCAUCACUAUAGCACGCAUUGCUAUUAGCAGUUCUUCUCACACGAGGAUCGUGAUUGUAGAUUUAUAGAACAACUUUUUACCAAAAUUUCAUACCGACUUAUUAAUUACUCCGGGAAGAUGGAUGGAAUGACCACUCCUAGAACAUUAAUAAUAGUUUUAGAAAAAACGGUGGGUAUUGUUAAAAAAUUUUUAACGACAACAAUGAGUAAAGAAUCCAUCAACCAGAAGAAGAUCAGAGAUGUGGGGCGUGAAAAGAGAAUGUAAUUGUUCUUCAUGCUAAGACGAGUAAACUUUCAAAUGAGCAACUUUAACGUUCACCUUAGUGAUUAAAACAAUGCAGGUAUAUAUCAUACAGACAGAAGGAAAACGUGAUUUUGUUUUGCCCUUUGGUAAGAUUCUUAAUUUAGGACAAGUAGACUUGGAUACCAGCCGUUUUGAUCAAGUGACAGACAGGACAGACAUUUACAAGUCCAUCGCAAUCUUUACACAAACAUAAAUGUCUACAAGGCAUAAGUAGGAUGGAAACCUCUUUUGCCUUGCAUGCUCUGCAAAUCAUGUAUUCUUUGCUGGUUGAAGGUUUUAUUGUCCCACCUGGAACAUUUACGUAAUUGUUUGGAUCGAUGUUUGAGGCAGCAUCAUCCACUUCACUAUCUCCAAACCCUUCCUUCGCUUGGUCAGCACCCUGCGAGAUGGCAUGCUGAAGAUUGUUUUUCAGGACAUUUACAACUGACUCGUUGUACUUUGCUCUGCAAUGCCAAUUUUGAGCUUCCGUGGCCACAUGCUUUAUUCUCUCCACUAGCUCUCUGUUUUUACGGUUCAUGCUCUCAAUUUCAACAUCCUUUUCAUGUAGUUUCUUUUCGAUGCCUUUCUCAACCGCACUAAGAAAGGAAGCCAUAUGUCUUUGCUUCAUGUCCCUAAUUCCCUUUGCCAAAUGUUCUUCCUGUUUGCCAGGCAGAUGGAAAAUCUAACACAUUAGACGCAAUUGAAUCAACCGCAUUGAAGGUUACUUAAACAUGAGCACCCCAUUUACAGGCAUCACGUGCAAGUGAUUGUAAUUGCUAUAGAGAGAAAUAAGCUCUUAAUGAACUAAUUAGGCCACAAUCGCAAACAUCUUCAAGGAAAUAAUAUCACAAACUAUUUUAGUUUUAUCCCUAUGCAGCAUGCACUCUUGUUAAAAUCCAGAAGAGCAGAAUGUCCUAGAAGCUCUGAGGAGAUUAAAGUACCUGAAUUUUAAUAUAUUGAUCAAAUUCUUCCUUUUGUCUAUCAACCUCAGUCCUGAUAUUAUCACCAAGUGAAAAAAUGAUUGAAGGUGCAGCUGUUAUACUUCCACUGGCAGUGGUAACAGAGGAAUUGUGUUCAUCAUCAUCAUAUGAUAGUCUUAAGCCUGUUGAUACAGCAUUUGGGUUUCUAAUGCUUGUUGAACGAUUAGCGUCAUCUUGACAAGCAUAAUUUAGGGAAAUCUGAAGCUUCUGCUGUCUUGAGAAAUCUUCUGUUUCCCUACUUCUUUUGUUAGGGCGAAGCAUUGGAACCAUUUGCUCGUUUCCAAAAUAAUUUACAGGCUCGAUUCCACAACUAACGGGCACUACAACAUAAAUUGUGAAUUCUAUGAGACAGGACAACUGAAGAACAUUUAACAAGAUCUGAUUAAUCUUCCAAAUACGGAUCAGACUUGCAUUGUUAUUCAAAUCAUUUACUCUGGCUAGACAUACUUAUAAAUAAAAAAUUACGGAAUGCAGUAAGUUGAAAUCAGAUAUUUUAGAGACAAGAAACUCACAGUUCCCAAAUAACUGCAGCUGACCAGAAGCAUUAUUUUGAUACUGAGUUCGUUUUUCAUCAAGGAAAACGGGAAGCAAACCAUUUCCAUUGUUGCCACCCAACAUUUUCCAGAGAAUUGAAUCGAUGACCUUCAGAUAAAGAGAAAAUUAAAAUACGGACAGCACGGAAGGCUCACUGCCUGCAAAAGGAGACAGCAGUCUUAAUCAUUCUAUUCACUGAUGGGAAAAAAACAGCGAGGAAGAAAAAGGACAAUAAUAUGAAUUUUUAAGUACGAGUGGAGUAUGGAGAUAUGAAGCUCCAACCUCAAAUGAAAAAAAUUCAUAUGUCAAUUAACCUUGGGCUAUGGUUACUUUGGCAUUACAUGUAGACAAGCAAGAAACAAGGCUUAGAGUAUUCUGUGAGUCGGUUCUCAAAAAUGCCAAAAAUCUUGGAUGGAUUAAGUUAUUGAACAGACAUCGCAUUGCCACAAAAGUUUCAUUGUUAAUAAAACAAAAGGGGGCUCAUCUUCAACAGAUCCUAUUAUGAAACAUGGGUAUGAUAUUCCAGGACUGAAUUCAGUAUUUGAAACCCCAUAAUGGGCAAUCAAUAUUCCUACAGAAUCCAGAUAUCCGUAGCAUUUACUAUGAAUAACAACCCAUCCAAAUAGGUGAAAAUACGAGAAACUAACCACCAUCACGUUUUCGUUAGAAAGUCAAACCUAAACAUAAACAUAAAAUUCAAGGGAAGCACGAAUUCAGAAAUAACAAUAGAGGGAGAUCAGAUCAGAAGAAAUAGCAGGAGUUGAAUCAAUCAUAAAACCAUGUAGCGAUAGUCAGAAAAAACAUCAACAGGGAUGGGGACGCGGCAAAAGGAACGGGAAAAAGCUUAGUGUAUCAGAAGUGGGGAUAUCUAAACGAGGAAAGUUAGGGAGAUUGAUGAGCAGGUUUGACCGGAAUCGCAUAAUGAAGGAAGAGGCAAUCAAACAAUUUUGACAAGGAACAAUGUUUAGUUGAGAUCAUGAUUGGAAGUUUUCCUUAUGAGGCACGACUUUAGCAACGAUGCAAACAUGAAAGUAGGGGAAGAAAAGGAUUACCUUAAGAAGAAGUCAUAUGGGCAGUGCGAGAUGAGAAGAAAUAUCAUCUCCAGAUCCUGCCAUUCAACAAUCCACACAGAUUUAUCUACAUGAUUCACAAGCAAUACAUAUACACACAUAGUAAUAGCGAAAAGAAGAAGAAAUAUGUAUAAUAUUAUAAAAGAUAGAAAUACCUUGAAGAUUGUAUAUGUAGAAUCGAAUGUUGAAGGAGGAGGAAUAGGAUCUAGAAAUAUGUGUGUGCGUGUGUGUGUGUGUGUGUGUAUAGAGAGAGAGAGAGCGAGAGGAAAGGGAAAAGAUUGAUGGAGGGUUCUGGAGAGGUAAGGUAACCGACGAAAAGGAUGAGGAAGAAGAAGAAGACGAUGAAGAUGAAGAAUUAUAGGAGAGAGAGGAAGAGGAAUUGUAGGGAGGUGGUGCGGUGGGAGUGGAAAAUUUAUUAGAAUGAAAUGAAUGAAUCGGUGGUAGUGGUUACGCAAACGGAUUUCCGUUCCCUUUAUAUAUAUAUAAUAAUUUUAUUAUUUACGAAACACAAAUUAAUGAAUUAUGAUGGAAGGGAAAGAAGAAGAAGAAGAUGAAGAAGAUGAAGAAGAAAAGAGAAGAGGGAUGAAAGUUAAUAUCACAUUUUCAACUCUGGACCCCACCCACUUUUUAUUUCUCUUUUCUCUUUUUAAAUUUCAUUGCAUUUCCAUUUUUCCAUUACAAAUUUGGGUGCUUCGGUGGCAACACAACACGGUUUCUAAUUCAAAUUUAACUUCCUAAAUAAAAUCAAUUUCUUAAGGCUUAAACUACACACUCUUCCAAUUGGAUUAUCUAUUUAUUGAUUUUAAAGAUAUGUUAAUUAUUGUUGGAAUAUGGAAUAUUGUGGUGUUUUUAAAACAAUACUACCGUUACUUAUGUUUUUGUCUUUUGAUUUUGAAUUUGUACAGGAAUGGCCAUUUCACGUAACUGCCCCUGCAUCUUUAUUUUAGAAUAUUUGGUAAUAUCAUAAUUUUUCAAUCCAUCCAAAUAUAAUUAAAAUGAAAAUUGAAAUGAUGAGCGUAGCCCGUAGGAUGUAGGAUUAGGAGGUUGUGUAGGAGAUAGGGAGAGUUAGGAGUGUGAGUGUGAGUGGGAGUGGGAGCAUUAUUAUUCAUUCAUUUACCAAUGACCAUAAAAAAUAAAAAUAAAAAUCAUAAAAGGCGGGGGGUGGGGCGGGAAACAAGGCCUUGUGUUGCGUAAUUACAUUGCCUUAAUGUGUUAUUCAAUAUUCAACGUGCAUCCUUCCCUCCCCUCGCUGCCUCGGCCCCACGUCUACUUUUUCUUUUCUUUUCUUUUUGGCGCGCAAUUCCUUUGCAUUUGUAGCGAUGAACCCCCCCCCCCCCCCCCCCCCCCCCCCCCACACCAACCUGCCCUCCUCACGGAUCUCCAUUCCCCGAUUUCCGGGUCACCAUUUCUCCGUUUUUCCAUUUUCUUUUCAUCUCAUUCCCAUCUUUACUUUACUUCCCACCCUCACUUAUCCUUUUCUUUUUCCCCCCCUCCCUUCUAAAUUCAAAUUUAACCCUCCAUUUUCCUUCCUAUUUUUAAUACCCCUUCCUUUUCCAACAAUCUCAUCUUUUAUUCCACUCUUUCAAUUACUAUUUCAUCACAAUAUUAAAUAAAUAAAUAAAUAAUUGUUACCAACAUAUAUAGAAAUGGAAAUGGAAUACACUUCUAAAUUUAUUACACCUUAUGCUAUAUACAAUAAUAAUUCUUAAUGUAACAAGAUUAAUAUCCACAUGGAGAUCUAAUAUGCAUUUUAGAAUAAAUCUUGAAAUGCUAAAGUUCGAUACUUCUUUUUAGUUUGAACAAGUCAAAUGAAAAAAAAAAAAAAAAAAAGAGGUUGACAAAUAAGCAGUGGUUUAAAUUUGAAAGAUUUGUUUGUGAAGGUUGGAAAGGGCUUUGUGUGUCUUGCAGCAUAUGAAGAGAGGAAAGGUCAAUUUUGUUGACCAACAUGCGGAAGGAGAAGAGGACGAAAGGGGACGGCGAAGGCAACGCGGUGAGUGGGCCUCAAAAUAGAUAACCUCUCUCUCUCCCUAUAUCUAUAUUUCUUUGAAAAUAUUGUUCAAUUUUUCUUUUUAAAUUGAAAAAAUAAUAAACACGUUUUCUUCAUUCCUUGUUAGCUCUGAGCCAUUGACUAAUCCAAACCCAAAUACACCAACAAUUCUAAAACUGCUUCCUUAACCUCCAAUUCCAUACUAACUAUCUAAACCUUUAUCCCCCAUCCUCAUUUGUAUACUUAUAUAUAAUUCACGCAUGGGUGGGUUGAAAAAAGUUGAAGAAGAAUCAAACCAAACUUAGAUCAAUCAUAAUAGAUAUAAUCUCAUACACAUACAUAUUUAUAUUUCCCAUUUUAGGAACGUAUCAUAAUUUUCCUAUUAUUUAAGACGUUGGGUCAUGAAGGGAAUGGGCAUUGCGAAAAGGGCUGGUGUGGUAGGUCAAAGCCCAAAGUUUUCUUCUUCUUCUUCUUCUUCUUUUUUUAAUUAAAAUGGAAAAGAAAUACCAAAGGGGUCAAACCCUGGUUGGGAUCGAGGCACGUAGGGUUGUGCAGAAAGCAGAAAGCGAAGAUGAUCAUCCCAGUGCGUUGCUUCACUUGCGGGAAGGUAAGCUAUGGACAACCAUAUUCAACAUUGAGUUAAAGUUUCUUCUCAGAAUUCCAUUUUCCUGUUUUCUCUAUCCUUCUAUGUCCCACUGUCUUUGGGUUCUUGCCUACCCACCACCCCCAAAGUUUUCAAUUACUCUCAACUCAACUCACCUCUUAGAACCCUUCGGUUUAUAUUUUUUUUAGGUGAUUGGAAACAAGUGGGAUCAUUACCUUGAUCUUCUACAGGCCGAUUAUUCAGAAGGGCAAGUGAGUGCAACACGUCACUUCAUUUACAUUUUGAUUUCCGUCUUGGUUUCUUACAACAUCCAAAAGCAUACCUGUUUUACCUUGCCUUUUAGAAGAGAUCCUAAUGCAUUUACUUUUCCCGUAUUAGGGAUGCACUUGAUGCACUGGGUCUGGUUCGCUACUGCUGUAGACGAAUGCUCAUGACUCAUGUUGACCUUAUGAAAAGCUUCUUAAUUACAAUAGUAAUCCCUUUUCGCUUUCCUUCUCUUCCUUCAUGCACGAGCUGUUUGCCUACUUCAGUUUUUCGCUGCCCUUUCACACAUUUAUCGCUUUCUGUUUCAGCUCUGGAUAAGUCUGAUACCAGUUAGGCGGGGGAAAAGUUUUCUGCUUGUUCAUGUGCUGUGCUGUGCAGGAGUCAGUAUUGGCGUUUACUUAAAGAGAAGAUUCAGUGCAUGACUCGAGUUGAGCUGUGUCUUGGUGUCCCGCUCUGUUUAAUUGCUGAUUUUAUCAAGGGUUUACUAGCUUGUAGGAAUUACAUAUCAGAACUGUGUACUAUCAUAAUGUUGAAAGAUGGUUAGAAAGAAAGGAUGUAGUUAGUAUGCUGGAAGGAUUUCCCUUCUCUUAACUAACUGCCUUUGUGAAAUGGUGUUUAUACCUGGACUAUCGCUAACAAAUUAAUACAACUAUCAUCAGAUGUUUACACUGCGUCAUUUGUUCAGUUCUAAUUGCUUAUGGUUUUCGGUUUCUCAUUGUUGAUUAAUGGAUGUGAAAGUCAUUUGACAAAACCAUAAGAAUGCUUUGUAAUCUUCCUAGAUGCUUCAAGCACAAAAGUGCCUUAAUUUGACCUGCAUAUUGUCUCCCCUAUUCUUUUGACACCGAAAUUAUUAUUUUGAACCUUUUCUUUGAUCUGCAAUAUAUUUCACUGGCUGUUUAGAAAUAUGAAACGAGUUUGUAAAGACCGACUUAGUCUUACAGCCAUUUUUUUAGGUUUUGUUGUUCAAUUUGAUGUUUGACCUGGAAAUUAUUUCUAGACUACACUUUCAAGGAUGUCUUCAGGAAAGACUUCUUUUUUUUUUUCUUUUAAAAAAAUAGAAAUGAAUGGUGGGGAUUUGAACUACAACUUGUUGGUCCUUAGGAAAUACAUACAUUAGUUGAGUGAAGUUUUUGUUGGGAAAACUAAUAUUUUUAUGUUUGACGUUCUAUAUAUUGCAUGUUUUGGGUCAGUAUCAUGUUUUGCACAUUUGGUACAAGUCAAACUUAGAAUAAAUGGCAACAGCAAGGGUAUAAGUGAAAAUUUCUAAAACAUGGUAGAACUAUUUGAAAAUUUCCAAACUUAACAUUAUGGACUAAAGCAUAUAUUUAGCGAAAAAAAUUAUCUCACCCAGGAUCUGGGCAAGUUCAUAUUGCCCUUCUGCUCAACAUUCAAUCAAAAUGUUCAUAAUCCCAAAUCCAGUUGACCCACUUCAAAAUAACCAAAAUGGUGAGAUUUGGUGGUGUCCAGACUUCAGAGUUCAUUAAGACGUGGAUUUAGAGGAAGGGAGAGUGUAUAGUCUUGAGAUUCAAAUUUGACGAGGAUGUCCUGGGAACAACAAGAGAGAAGGUACUCCUUUGAAAUCGUACGCCUAGCACCUGCUGCUGAGUACUUUAAUUUGUCUAUUGACUAUGAGUGUGAGGAAAGGUUGGGCUUUGAAAGAAACGAGAAAAUGCAAGUUACAGUCAAGAAUGUGGUGUGGGUCGGAUCAUAUAAAAAUCACAUCACCAUUGGCAUUCAUUCAGCAAUAUAAUCGAAGAUUUCAUCUCUAGUCCUUCGGGUCAUGAGGUUUUCCAGUUCAUUUCUCUGUUAUUUCACGUUAACUACUGUCCUACAAAGAAAGUAUGUUAUACUUUCAGUACUCAAUAUGUUGAUGGUUACUUAUUGACCCUUCAAGUUAUCCACCUAUAGCAUAUAGCCUAUAGCCUAUACCUUGCUUUUCCUUUCCAUAGUAUUAAAAAAGGGAGAAAAAGAUCAGCUCCAUGCCAUUCCUUUUCAUAUGUAUGUUAAAUUAGGAGACAACGUGGCAUAUGAGUGUACACUAAAAACUUUAUUUAUCGUAAGGCUCACAAUUGAAUCACCGCAUGCAUAUGAUUAUGUUUCUGUAUGUUACCUAGUGGAGCAGCUACCUUCUCUCUCUCAAUAUUAUUGUGGGCAAUUUAUUUUGACAUAAAAUAUAAUAAAUAAUGGGAUCUACAACAUCACUUCAAUUUCAAUUUCACCUAUCAAUAAUCUAUAGUACUGUUGUAAUUUGAAUGCCACUUGGAAUACAGUAGAUGAAUAAUGAGUUAUUGGCAGUGACAUGAAUUUAAAGAGGUUGUUCAUUGUUGGGGCCAAAGCAAGGGGUGGAGAGAUUUGUCAAAAUCAGUCACACCGUUAGGAAAAAUAUACAUAUAAAUAUACCAUAUAUGUGCAAUAACCAUCCAUUCCAUUCUGCUACUUUCUUAUCUAUUUAGAGAUGGGUUUUGGAUUGCUUGUGCUGUUUUGGCCCUUCACUUGGAUAUCUGUGGAUAAUAUUUCUUCUUUCCUCUUCUUUCAUUUGUUCCCCCUUUUUCUGCUAUAAAAAAGCUCACAAAUAUCUUCUCCUGAUCUUUGGCGCUUGUGAGGGCUUUUGAUUUGUUCUCUUCUCUGUUUUUUCAGCAAUAUUUCGUCCUUGGGUUUUCGCUGAAUGUACUUAACAUUAUUCCUGGGUUUUUGACCAAACACUAUAGCUAAUUUCUAAAAAUAGAUAUACAUAAAAUAGAUAAGUCAUAGUAUCAGUAUGUACCGCCCCAACAGCCACCACUUUCUUCCUUGUUUUCAUUGCCAACCCCAUGCCUAUAUCCGGAUGGUACUGCUUUUCUCUUUCUUUCACCAAUUGUAACGGUUAAAAUCUUGGAUUUUUCUUUUUUAUCAUUUCAAUUAAUUUUGCAGGUCCAGCAUCUGAUAGAGAGAUGCUUGCUGCUUCAUAUGAGUCGAGAUGAGUGCGUGAAGGCAUUGGCUGACCAUGCAAAUAUCCGUCCUCUCAUUACACUUACAGGUCCGUAUAUACAAAUACUCCUUUUAAACUUUGUGAAUCAAAUUUUAAUUUGUUAUUCAAUUAUCUAAAUUAAGCUAUUCUGGGGCUUUUUUUUAAUUAACCUGCCAGUGUGGAAGGAGCUCCAGAAAGAGAACUCUGACUUCUUCCGAGCAUAUUUCCAUACCAUUUCUCCCAAUCCAUUCCUCGGUAUGAUCCCUUAUCUUAUGGUCACUUCAAAAUAAAAUAAUGUCAUUUGAUUGUGACGGCCUUUGCCUAUAUGAUCAUUUCAUUUAGUUCCUAUUUAGCUUGAUUAAUUAUUCACCUUACACACAAACCUACAGCACUAUUUUAAGUACUUCAACUCUUCAGUUUGGUACAAACAAACAAAAAAAAAAAAAAAAAUGCAGUUGAAUAGGUUUUAAUUUUAAGAAUCGACAUCUAUAUAUUUAUUUGUUUAAUUAGUUAAAUAUUUGGGUCCAUUUACAGCCAAAUUCACGGGGAGUGAGCGGUGCAUCAUGAGAAGACAAUAUCUCUACUGGAGGUGAUCCAUUAAGAAUUUGUAAUGCUAAUAUAUAUGACGACGGCGACGACGAUUAAUUAAUUCGAACCCAGUUGUUUGUAGAUCAAGUAAGCUCUUUUAUUAUUAUUCUUAAUUUGUUUUGGAAUAAAAAAGAAAAAAGAGAGUGUGAAUGCUAAAUUUAAAGCCUGUUUACACAACGGAUUACAUUUUUUUAUUUACCAAAUUGAUAAAUGGGAUACCCUUGAAGUGCAGUCUCCAAUACCACCCUCUGAUCCCUAUGCUAUAUAUAUAUAUAUAUAUAAAGAAAUGUUAACAGAAGAUCAUAUUUUCUCAUAGCUUUUCAGUUUGGUUGCUGAUCUUAAAAGGAGCUAAAAUAUAUUGUUUAAUGUUUAUCCCGCGGUUGGACUUGGGGAACAUUGUUCAAUUGGUAAAUCAAUAGAGCGAGAGGGAGAGGGAGAGGGAGUGAAGCAUUUUACGUGGACUGCAAACUUGGGCCCUUUUAUUGGCCGCCUGAGAAAAGAAACUCCAGCCCAUAUAUGUGUUUUGAAAUGCUGGAGACUACUUAGAAGUAGAAGUAGAAGUACCCCAAUGUCAACUACAAAUACACACCAACUCAAAUAUUAUAAACUUUUCAAUAUUUUAAUGUCAUUUAUUUUAGUCUAACUUCAAUAUGGUACUCAGUGUUUUAAAUCACUUCAUUUAUUACUUUUUAUGAUACAUGCUUCUUUGUUACUCAAUUUACUUUAACCCCACUCAUGUUUUGUUUUAUGUAUCUCAUUCCAUCUUCAACUCUAAUACAAACCAUUAUCCCCAACUUUUUAAAUUAUGAGUUAAAUUUCUAAUGUAAUCCUCAUUUUAUUUAUUUUUACCAUUUUCUAUAUUUCAUACUACUCAACAAUUUUUUUCCUUCUGUAUUAUUUUUAUAUUCAAGGUUAUUUUAUAUGAAUUUAGUCUAUUACGUUUUAAUGAUUACAUCUAGGACAAUAUUUUAUUUAUGGUUCUAAAAUUUUGAUAUUCUGAAACUUAGAUCGUAUAGGAUGAGUUCUUUUUUUUUUUCUUUUUUUUCUUCAGAAAAGGAAGUUUAUCUGUAGUGAUGAAGGACAAAACAAAGCAGGCAAUUGGACAAAAUAAAUAUAUAGUAUUGGAAAUACCCUAUUUUGAUCAUACUAACAUAUCAAACCCAUUUAAUAACCCAUGUUAUUCUACUAUCAUAUAUUUAUAGCUAUUCAUUUUAUGAUAUUUUAUUCCCAUCGAAAAAUAAAGAAUUCUAAACCUUUUAGCUUUGGAAUGGCGUUUUGCAAUAAUAAUAAUGGUAAGCAUUGUUAAUUAGAUAUAGGACAUUUAUUCCGAUCCUCUUUAACAUAAUUGUGAAGUUUUUUAAAAUUUUUAAAUUUUAAAAUGGUUGAUAAUUAAGGUUGAUCAGUUUGGUUAUGCAUCUCAUAUAAGACAACAAAACUCAAGGAAAAAAGAAUAGUAGUAGAGAUAAUUAUGAGUAGGUAGUAGUUAGAGAAGUUAUAAAAUCUAAAAUAUGGUCACAGUAAGCAUAAUAUAAAUCACAAUAUAUUAUAGGUUGAAUCGAAAAGGACGAAAUAGAAAAAAUGGUGAUGAAAGAGUUUUAAUGAAAGUUGUUUUGUAUGUCGUGAUGCCCUUUUAAUUAUAUACACCAAGUUGUCAAGCUUUUUAAUUAAUGCACUCAUUAAAUAGAGAGUGCCCAUGAAUUUAUUAUUACUUUUUUAAAUGGGUAAUAUAGAUCUUCGAUACCCUAUUAAACAGCAUCUUUUUUCAAUUUUUCAAACUGGCUUUUCUUAUCUCGUCUUAAAUAUUAUUUAUGAUCAACCAAUCUUUUCAAAUUUCCUCUCUCUCUAAAAAAGUAAUAACAACAUUUUUUCUUUUAAAAAAUAACAAAUUAUGUCCUCUAAUUAACUUAUAAUGUAUAAUACCCUAGUUGAAUAACUAUUAUCAUUUAUUAAGGAAUUACAAACUUUACUUUUCUCUCCCACCUUUAUUUUCUUCUUCUCUAAUUAAUAUUGUCUCUAAUAAUAUACACAUCUUGUCUUUCAAUUCUUCCCUCUCUAAAUCAUUUCCUUUUGUCUCUACUAAAUCUAUCUCUAGGGUCAAAUAUAUAUAUAUAUAUAAUUUUAUUUUCAAGCUUUAAUUUAAUUUCUUUCCAUUGCUUCUUAGAAAACAUCGACCAAAACACACUAUGCUUCUAGCACGUCUCUUAAUUUACUUUUUACUUCACUGCAUCCUCACAUUGAUAUUUAGUUAAUACAACAAUGGGAAUUAAUUAGAAUCAUUAAGUUUAUAAUUAGAAGACCACAUCAACUGUUUUUUUGAGCUAUAAAAUCAUUUUGGUAUGGGACUGCAUCUCUUAUAAUCCUUUUAGGGGGAAAAAUUAGCAAAAAAAAAAAAUUAUUUUGGAAAAUAUUAACAAAAUAAAAUAAGUAUUAAUUGUUGUUAUUGGAUUAAUUCUUCGAGUGCCGCCGUUAAGAAGGCUUUUGGAAACCCUUUUCUUCUUCUUCUCUUUAUAUCGUAUUUCUUUCCUUCUUUACCUUUCGAUUUUUUUUUUUAAAAAAUUUUCAACCAGUUUUAUUUAUAUUUUAAAAAUACUAAAUUAAGAAUUAAUGGUUUAUAAAUAAAAUUGUUGAUUUGUUUUAAUGUAACAUUUUCCUUUUUUUUCUUUUCAAUUCAAUUGUUGUCUUAUUCUUUUAAUUCUUGUUUCAUUUAGGUGAUACUUGUAAGCCAAGAAGAAUGGAGGAGGAUUAGUCAAUUAUGAGUCAAAAAAUAAAGUCGUGACACCAACUAUAUUUCUAUUGGUAUGAUGUGUUGUGAUGGUGUAUAUAUUAAAGUUAACAGUAUUGUAGAAAUAUUAAAGGACUCGUUUUCUUAAAAAAAAAAAAAGAACACAUUUGCAAAUUUCACCACAUAUGUGUGUGUGUGUGUGUAUAUAUGAUGGGAAAUUAAAAGUAGAUUUAGUUUGGACAUAUAUAUAUAUAUAUAUAUAUAUAUAAUCUCUAAGCUUUGUUUCAUUGAAAGCUAAAAUUCAUACAAAAAAAUAUAAAUAAAAAAUAGAGAAGAAGAGGGAGGGAAGGAUGGAGGGGUAGGGCAUUACAUGAGUUUUAUUAUAAUAUAUUAAAUGAAAAGAAAAAAGUGAUAGAGAAACGAGGGAGGGGAGGGGAUCGGGGGGGGGGGUGUUGUUGUCUUUAUGUCAGGAUGGAAUUAAUAUCUUUCAUUGUCGUUGGGCGCAGAUCCAAAGCACAGGCAGUAAGGGAGUUUUUCUUUUUUAACUUCUAAGAACCACACUUUGACCUCUGAAAUCAUAAAUAUAAAAUAACAAGUAAGGAUAAAGAAAUAAAGGGAAAAUUAAAAUAAAAAAGGCAUUAUUGAGCUUUUAAAAUUAUCUAAAAUCUCAAUCUCAAUCUCAGUGGCAUCCGGGCAUUCAAUUACUGUAAACAAUGAGAAUAGAACUAAUUAUUCAUAAAUUCUGUAUUUAAGUCUCAUUCCAUUUCAAGAAAAUCGACUUGGAUGUGGUCGUUGGCUUAUUACCCCCCCCUACUUUCUAUUUUAUUUUUUUAUUUACCCUUUAAUUAAAUUCUAAAUCAUCAUAAUACACACACACACACACAUACACACCACCACCACCACACCAAACAUAGUAGGGGACCGGAAAUAUAUACUUGCCAAUCCCAUAUAUAUUUACUCUCUCAAAUUUAUUAUUCAACAUUAAUGUUUUGUCUACUCAUAUAUAAUAUAUGAUUAAUCAAUGAAGGUAGCUAAUUUUAAAUAUAAUUACCUGAUUUAAGUUAAUUAAUAUGACGCUCUCCCUCCUUUGGCUACAUUACGUUUUUCUUUCUCAGCAUCAUAUGAUCAGCUCCUUCAGCAUUGACUGGCGGAAGAUGAGCCCACUGCACCUCCCCAACACCAAUAACAAUCAUACAAUUUCUUUCCUUCAUAUUAUACAUCAAAACUAACUUACGCUUAAAUGUAAUAAUAAUAUAUAACCAAAACUCUCUCUCUCUCUCUCUCUCUCUCAUCAAUGUUAUCAUGAAUCCAACGACGUAACACACAUAAAGCUUACAUUUUUUGCAGCUGUCUUGAAUGCUUCUUUAUGAGCCAUCGCUGGAUUCUCUGCCUUCAGCCUCCGAAUCUCUUCCCUGCAUAUAUACAUAUAUAUAUAUAUAUAUUUAAAACUUUUAAAUUUUAAUACAAAUUAUAAUGAUUUGCAUGUGAAACCCCAAUUCACACCCUUUCUUAAACUCUCUCUCUCUCUCUCUCUUACGUAAUUUGAAUUUGAAGUUUAAUUAAUUAUAAAUAUAUAUCUUACUUGAUGAAUUGGUUAUAAGCUGAUGGGGCUCGCUGUUUCUUCUCCGGGGCUAAUUUUCACAGACAAUAUAUUAGAAAAUUUUAAAAAAGAAAUUUCACAUAUACAAUAAUAUGAAGAAAAAAAAGAAAUUUAUAGACAUCAUGAAAGGGCCAGAUUACGCUUGUUAACAACUGGAGUGGGUGGAAUAAUGAUGACGUCAUCAUCUUCAUGAUUUUGAAUAAUGUUAUGGUACGAGGUUAGGAGGUCGGACGACGAUGAUGAAUUGCUGAGGCUGUCCAAGCAGUAGUGUUUCUGGACGUUAAACUCUUGACCAAAACCCUCCUUUGGCUGACCAAAAAAGAAAAAAAGAAAAAAAAAAAGAACAUUUUGUAAUAAUAAUUUCUAGUUAGGAUCAGUUCAUGUACUGCUGACAGUGUGAUUUCAAAACUAGAAAUGUUAAGAGAGAAAAAAGAGAAAAAUAGGUAUAGAUACCAAGUUAUGAGAGAGGGAGGUGAGAAGAUCAAAAGGGAUAAAAGAGGGCUUAGCCAUGUUGACAGAGAGAAGACCAGCACAGUUUCCGCAUCUUACACUCACCACCAUCGACAAGUUGCUGUAUGGAACAUUUACCUGUGCGUAUAGAAUAAUACUUAACACUACUUGAAUAUAUCUGAGUUAUAAAUUAAAAUCAUCAUCAAACAAAACCAUAUAAUAAUAAGACAUACACACACACACACACACAUAUAUAUAUAUUCUCACUAAUUUAAUUACUACUUAAUAAGGCUUGCUGUUUUAAUUAUAUGAUAUGAUCUUAAUUACGUACGUACCAAUAAUAUGGUGCUACAAAGACCACAUUGCACAUAGCGAAUCUGUUCAGAGGAAUCGGCAAGGAGCUGCUCCACUGUCGACAUAUCAACACCUCCUUUUAAUUUAUUUCUAACACAAAACAGAUAAAAGAGAGUGAUGAAUAAGACCUAAUUAUAUAUAUAUAUUUGUCUCUCAGGCUCACACCAAUUUAUAUGCAAGUCCAAUUUAUAUAUACCUCUUUUUGCUUCCCUUUAUUAUCAAAUAUAAUAUAUCAUACUUCCCUUUCAAUUAAUGAUUUCCCUUCUGUCGUUUUCUCACACUAAGAUUCUUUUAUAUAUGAUGUGGUAUACUAAAAUUAUGCACAAAUGUGCUUUUUACAAAUUUAUCUACUUACUUGGUUUAAAGUGCAAUGAUUAGAUACAUCAUAUCUCAUUUUAUAUAUUAUGGAAUGAGAAUUUGAACCCGAUACCUCUUGUCAGUUGAGCUAACCUCAUGUUGGCUAUAUUAAUUUUUUUAAUGUUAACUGAAGACUGCACACUGAUAAUAAUAAACUGCCAUAUUUAUUUUUAUUUAUUUAGAACUUUUUGUUCCAUUUGAUCAUUGACUAUUAAAAGGUAUAUUUUAGAUUUAUAUAUUUUGGGCAUUAUUACAGCUUUCAUCACGUCUCUAGGUAUAUUUGAUAUUAUCACAAUUUAAAACUACGUGGGCUUGUUGAUAUAUCAAAUGAAAAAAAAGGAAUGCAACACUGAUCGUUUUUGUAAAUUAUUUUAAAGAAAUUAAAGGAGUAAAAGUAAAAGGAAAAGGAAAAUUGAAAGUUUAUGAUGAAUGUUAAGAGACGAAAAGGACUAUAUUAAAAGUCAAAGUAGCAAAAUAAAACAACUUGAAAGUUGAAUUAACUUUUGGUAGUGCAUCCACAAGGGAAGUAAAUGGUUACUAUUUUUAACGCAACAAAAGAAAGAAAACCAUGCACUUCUCGCCUCUUUUUUUCCCUAUAAUUUUUCAUCUCAUUUCCCAACAUUUCAUUUUAGUAGAAUUCAGAACGUACAUAAGAUUAUGUGAGGGUCUCUUAGGCUUAGUUAAAAGUGGCUGGUUAAAUGUAUAUAGAUUUACAUAUUGGGUGGAGCUGGUUGAGGGAAAAUGAAUUAUAAUUUAGGUUAUCACACUCGGACAGGUUUCAAAUGCCUUCUUAAUUAUCAUUAGGAGACACAUUCUGACUGUUGUAUUCAGCAAACUGCAUGAUCUAUCACUAAAAUUAAAGAAUUAACACUUAUGAUUGUGAUCAAUUCAUAAAACAUUUUCUACUCAUUGGGUAAAAACAAGGUUAAAGUAUAAAUUCAAUUAUAAAGUAUGUGUAUUUGAUCUAAUUUCAUCUUACAAAAUUAUAAGUUUAGUUUUCAAUUCUUAAAGUUUCGUACAAAGUUGAAAAUUUUGAUUUAUUAGGCAUAAAGUUUAAACGAUCGAUUACUUAAAAAAAAUUAUUAAAAAUGUCAAAAACCUAUUAGACAUGAAACAGGGGCAUAAUGUAUUGAACACUUUUGAAGGUUGUGAAUCAAAUGAACACUAAGGAAUAUCUACUGCAUCCGUCCAUCUCAACAAAAUUAUAUAAGGAAGCACCAAAUAAUAACAUUUCAUGAAAAUUUGUCACUAGCAUUCAUUCUCUAAAAGUUAUUACAUAAUAUGGGGUAUGGGUCUUGAACAUUAGGCAGUUGUUGAUGCAUCAUCCUAUAAGAACAUAUGGGUUCUUCGAUGGUGCAAACUCCCCUAAUCUUCUUUUGGCCAGAGAAAAUAUCGAGUGCAAGUUUGAAACCAAAAGCUAAUUGCUAGGAGAAAUAUCUAAUUUGAUAAACGGUAACAGGAAUCAGCCUCACCAAUUGCUCGAAAAAACAUAUCAGACAUCAGAAACUCAAACCUAGUAAAAAAAAGAAAAAAACCUACCAUUGUUGAAGUAUCAACAAUUGCCCAAUGUCAGAGGACAUUCCCAAACUUGAUUGCCCAAGUCAGCAGUAGAUAACUGCAAUAAAUCUUAUUCACAGUAUUUUCGCUUAUCACUUAUCAGUGACAUGGAAAAUGAAGAACCUAAUAAUAGUUGCAUUGAGGUACAGCUAAACUAAUAAGCGGUCCAAGACUAAUUUCAAAUCCAUUAUGGAUAGGCCAAAAAAGCAUAAAUAGCAGGGUGCCAGUCCAAAGAAUUGAAGAUUUUUCAAUGACGUAAUUAGCACACUGAUUCGAGAGUAUGAAACUGCAUAAAAUUUCCAGCAAACAGGCAGUAUAUGAAAGAUGCUUAAAAAAUAUUUAACCAAAAUUGAGCAUUGAUUUGAUUGUUUCCAAAUGUAAAACAGUUCAUGAAAAUGGACCCAUUUGACCAUUUGUAAUCCUAACAAUUAAUAUUAUCCCAAAAUGAUGAUCAUCAUAAAUAAAAAAAAUCUCUAUCAAAAUGUAAAUAUAAAAAAAAAGACCUAAUCACCGCCGGGCUUCUGAUACACGUAUGUCAAACCGCACUUGCCACAGUAAUGACGAUCAAAAUGAUUGGCCAUAAAUGUACCCGCUCCGCAUUCAGCGUUAGGGCACUCCUUCCUGAGCCUCUGAACCUUUCCUGAAUCGUCGACCUUGUAAAACUGAAGAACAGAGAGCUUGACCUUCUUCUUCUUGUGCUUGAUCUUCUUAGGUUUGGUGUAGGUCUUCUUCUUGCGCUUCUUAGCACCACCACGGAGCCUUAAGACAAGAUGGAGCGUAGAUUCCUUCUGGAUGUUGUAGUCGGCAAGUGUUCGACCAUCCUCCAGCUGCUUACCGGCGAAGAUGAGACGCUGCUGGUCAGGCGGUAUUCCUUCCUUGUCCUGAAUCUUUGCCUUGACAUUAUCGAUGGUAUCAGAACUCUCGACCUCGAGAGUUAUGGUCUUCCCGGUAAGCGUUUUCACGAAGAUCUGCAUAGUGUGGGAGUGGAAGGUUUACGGAGUCGAGGAGAGUAGAUUGACAGAUUAGGGCUAACAAUGGUUGCGAAAGUUUUAUAUUUGGGAAUUAGGUUUGUUGGGCCAACCCAAGGCCCAAUAUAUUCAUGAAUCAGGGCCCGUUUCACCGCUCAUUUUAUAUACAUCAAAACUUUAGGUUAAAGCUUAAAAACCAGAGGUAAUAAAUUGAAGUAUAAGAAAAAUCAACAAUUAAUUAUGAGAUUUCCAAAAAGUACAGAUUGAACUAGUUUGAGACUGAUGUUUCUUCUUCUUCUUCUUCUUCUUCUUGUUUUUAUUAUUAUUACUAUUAUUAUUUUGUUUUGGCCACUUGUGAGUUCAAAAGAUAAAUAAGAAAAUUCACAUAAAUCUAUCUGAUUGUACAGGUGGGCAUGAGAGUGGUAGGCUGUUCAGGUUUGAGUUUAACUAAAUUUGUAUCACGUGCAAACUUCUAAGCUUAUGUUGAUUUGUAUACGUCUUUUUUUUGAAAUUUCGUAAAGAAAAAACAAGAGAUACGAAACCAACUCUAAUUCAUUUAAAAAUCUAUUUAAUUUAGUUGAUAACUACAUUUUGUUUUGAUUUAUAUUUUUACAAAACCUCGAAAAAUAAAAAAGGAAAUCUACUUUUAGGAUCAGUUUUUAUUUAAGCACAUUUUAGGGUUAAUCAUGGUUAAAAAAAGAAAAAAAGAAAAAAAGAAAAAAAGAAAAGUGUAUUUGUAUUUAUUAAAGGCAAGAAUUGAGUUUUGGGAAAAGUGGGUACAGGUGGCGGGUAGAUUGGGGUUGUGGUGUGGAGAAAUUGGAAGUUAUUAGACCAAUCUCGUGUCAUCCCAAUCGAAAAAAAUAUCGAUUUGAUUCUGCAGCAGGAAGGGAGGGUGUGGACCCAAGAACAGAAGAGUCUUCUCCUUCCACCGGAAGGAAGGAAGGAAGGAAGGAAGUGUGAUUUUGUGGAGUUGGAGGUACGGAGAUUUUGCUUCUCAUCAAAUGGUCGUAGGAAGCAAAGAAUUUUCCUUUUAUUGAACUCUCCGUUUCCUUCCGACGCCUUCCAUUUCUAAUUGGUACCUACCAAUUCUACUUUAGCUCUUUUCUUUUCUAUUACUGAUUUCAUUGCAUCCCUUUCCACUCCAUUGGACCAUUCUAGAGUAACGAAUCUGGGAAUCUCUCUCUCUCUCUCUAUUUUUUUUUUUUAAUGAAAUGGUUGUCUUGCUUCUUGUUGAAUUAGCUAGUUUUAGAUGUUGGGAUUUUGCAUCCUUCUUCCUCUGCUCUUUAUUGCAUUUCAACUCCUCCUUCUCUCCUUAUUUCUUCAAUAUAUUAUUGCUGAAUACAAACUCAUUUCCUCAGAAUUUUUCUGCCUAAUAAUUUUAUGUUCCCUCUCUUGCUUUCUUUCCUUUCUCACAUUUUUUUUUUUAAUUUUCCCAUGACUGGACUUCAUUUACUUGCUCUUCCUCCUCCUUUGGCCCUCAUUUUUUCUUCCAUGCUUGCUCAUUGGAAUCCAUCAUUCUACUUUCUGCUUUCCCUGCUCUAAAAUGUUUUUUUCCUUCUUUUUCAUAGACCAUUCAUUUAACUGAUUUACUUCAAAUUUAGACUAUCUUUUCAGACACAGCUGAUUUUUUUUUUUUUUUCGUUUAGUAUAUUAUUAUUAACUCGAAAUGAGUUUCUUAGCAGGACUAUCAGACUCCUGGAAGCCUGUCAUGACUACCGAUACUAAUACUUUAAGCUAUUGGCUGAACUGGAGAUUUUUUCUAUGUGCUUUGUUCCUAUCAACUGUUAUGAUUGUGGCAGCCCUAUUAAUAUGGAAAUAUGAAGGUUCUAAAAGAUCGAAAUCUGGUUCGAGAGACGAUUCACAAGUUUCAGUUGGGUCAUUGUACGAGGAUGAACUCUGGCGGACGUGUCUAAAAGAAAUACAUCCACUUUGCCUCUUAGCUUACAGAAUGCUUGCUUUUGCUCUGCUUUUUGGAUUGAUAUUGAGUGAAGCUAUUGUUUCAGGAGGCAGGAUUUUUUUAUUUUAUACUCAGUAAGUCAUUUAUUUUGUAUUGUCUCGCACUCUUCUAUCACUCUAAACUGAAUAUUUUGUAUUGUUCGUUUAAGUGAGGAGGACAGUAGCUCUUAACUCAAUUGGGACCCUGUGAAACUAUCUUGUUCUUCCCAUUAUUCCCAUGCUUGUCAAAGCUUGGUAAUGAUUAUAGUUCUGAUGGUUCAUUUUUGGUUCAAAUCUAGAAAUAUUUACAUUGUGGGGCGCUGGAGUUUGUUCAAUUAGUAGUCCGAUCAUUGUAUCAGUGCUUGCAUCAUUGCAUAGGAUAAUUUUCAUAUUCUUCUUAAAGAUCUACUGUUAAGGAUUAUAAAUAUUUCCUGAUUCGGUUAUGUAGCCUUUAUAUCACUCUUGCCUAGUAUAACUUUGUGCCAGAUGUGGGAGAAAUGCCCCAAACUUGUUAAUUAUGGCCACUUUCUCAUCUAACAGUCAUAUAUUUAGGGAAAUUUGCAAUCAUUGAUUUAGAUGGUAUCUUUCCAAGGUAUAUCUCGUGUAUUGCUAGAGAGAAGUUGUGAAUUAUGUAGUUUACUACGGAUUAUCAACCUACCGUUUCAGGUCAUGUUUAUCUAUUAAUCAUCUUGACAGUGCAGAAAACAAGUUACAAACUACUUUGACAAUUUAGGAAAUAAAGUUAUAUCCCAGACUAACAUACUUUUUUUGUGCAGGUGGACGUUCACAUUGGUCACACUCUACUUUGGGGUAUGUUUUAUAACUUCAAAAAAACUGCUUGUUUGCCUGCUGAUGUGGUUAUACUUCGCUCACAUUUGGUUGAUCCAAAGUAGGAUGGUGUAUCCAUGAAUUUUGGUCCUGAGAUAUGGGGGUGACCCUAACAGGAAAAUAGUAAUCCAGAGUUUGAUAUAUGUAGCAACAUCUAGUUAUAUAUAAAAUAUUUUUGGCUGUUGAGAACAAGGGUAACCAGGAAUACAACCAAACUUACCUAACAUUCAAUGAAUUAUUAAAAUUCAUGGCUUUAGUUUCCCAUUAUCCGUAAGUUAUUAACUAAGCUAAAAUAUUGCUAUCUUGCAGCUUGCAACUUCAUUCUCCAUUUAUGGUUGUUGUAGAAAACGUGAUGAUAAUGGCAGCUCAACCGAGCAUACAAGUUUAGAUGCAGAGCGAGGCACUUAUGUGCCCCCAACUCUUGGUGUGAACAGCCUCGAUGUGGAUAAUUCAGCUAAGAGUUUGAGCUCCCGUGAAGGUUUUCAUACUCGCAAAGCUGCUGGUGUGGGGGGAUAUGCAUUUCAAAUUAUUUUUCAGGUGACUAUUUUCCUCCUAAAACUGAGUAGAAACAGCUUUUAUGUUGAAAGGUAUGGAUAGGCUUAGGUUGGCGAAGGCUAUUACAUGCUAUUAGUUAACCUUCCUAGUACAUUUUUGAGUUAUGUUGUCAAUUUUUUAGUGUUAUAUUUCUCUUAACAUCUAGAAAAUAUCUUGCUCUGUUUUCUUUUCCUAGGUAUCCGCAGGUGCUGUGGUGCUUACCGACAUAGUAUUUUGGUUCAUUCUUUAUCCAUUUAUUCUAUCUCGAAGUCGUGGGCUAAGUUUUGUAAGUAUUUGAUUUUCUGCCCCCUCUCUAUAUGGCUAAUAUUAAGUCAUUUACAAUGCUUAUUUUAGAUUGGGGGGAGAUGCAUUUUGUUUUGUGUGAUUGAUGUUGUGAUGUAUUCAUCAUUUGGCCACAGUUUAUUGUUACCAUGCACUCGGUGAAUGCUGUUUGUCUUCUUGGAGAAACAAUCUUGAAUGGUUUGGUAAGUUGGGAAGCUUCAAUAGGCUUCUUUUCUUUUGGUAUUCCAUAGAGUAUGGGCAAUGAUUUAAGAUUGGUUUGAACUGCAGCGAUAUCCGUUCUUUCGGAUUGGGUAUUUUGUACUGUGGACAGGGAUAUUCGUCAUUUUUCAAUGGAUUCUCCAUGCUUGUGUUUCAAUGCCGUAACUUUCUACUCUGCUCUAUCACAAUUUCUUGCAAUGAUUUUAUAUUGAACGUAUAUGAAUAAGAUUGUUAAAAUUAUUUUGGCCCGCUUCAUUGUAGGUGGCCUUAUCCAUUUCUUGACUUGUCACCCCCAUCCGCGCCAUUAUGGUAAAGUUUGAAGUCCCUGGCUUUGACUCCAAUGCCUUUGUAUUCUUGUUUUCGAAUUUUCAGUGGUUAUGGACAUUCAUUUUGCAGGUAUGUUGGGGUUGGGUUGAUGAAUGUACCUUGUUUUGGUGUCUUCGCUCUACUGAUCAAAAUGAAGCAAUCUCUGUUGCCAAAAUUGUUCCCGAGGUCUUUUCAGGAGUUGAGCUAACAAUCGAAUCAGACGAUCAUCAAACCAGUGGGUUAUGAAGCUGUGUUUUCCUGUGAUCCCCAUCAUGUUUGCUUCAAAUUAUUCAGUGUUGAGAACGUAAAUAUUACACAUAUACAGAACAUAAAGCAUGAUGACGCAGGCAGUUGGAUGGAAACAUUACCCUAACAAAGCUCAAAUCUAGGCGGAGGAUGCCAGAUUCUGUAAGCCUGUUUUCAUAUUCAAUGCUCCUUUGAGAUUCUGGCAUCUUCCGAAUUACUUAUUUUCAUUUUCUUUUGUUCGAGUCACUUUGAUUUUCUCCCAACUGCCCGUAUAAUUUAUUUGAAGCAUUUAUGGUAUGGAAUGUACCUCCUGCAAUGACUUGUGCAUACUUUUUUUCAAUUAUUUGUUCCAAUAAAUUUAAAAUCUUCUUGUGUUCUAAAUUGUAAUGUUCACUUUUAAUCUUUCACAAAACGUGAACAUUAACAUUAGUAUCCAUAACAUAAUACUUAGAAUGUUGACAAUUUCUAUAAAACCUUGUUAGGCUAAUUACAAAAUAAAAUCAAUUUUGUUUAAUAAAUUAUGUUUCGGAACACUAAAAUGUGUUUGGUAAUGUGGUGUCUCAUCUCAAGUAAUAGAUGAGUACAAAUGUUCUGGAAAAGUUUGCGAGUAUUAAGUACGUGUUUGUAUAUUAUAAAUUUCAAGUAAACUAACAUGUACUGUGACUAGUAGACUCAGUUUUAGAUAUAGAGUAAGCAAACAAAAUUGUUACUGAGAUCACUUAAAAUAACUUCUUUUUUUUUUUUUUACCUAUUCAAACAAUUAAUUUAAACCUAAAAUUAAUUAAAUAAAUAAUACUAAUAAUAAAAAUGUACUCAAAAUAAUAAUAAUAAACAAAUAAAUGUCCAAGGGAUGAGUGUCCUACGUGAUUUUUAAACACGUUAUUCAUUUUGUUAUAUUUUCUAUAAGGAGUGUACAUUUAAACAUGAUAAUUAUUUAUGUUCGAUAACAAUUUAAAAAUUAAUAUCUGAGUAUACGUAACAUUUUCUUUUAAAAAGUUGUAAAUAUAUAUGGAGUCAAUUUUUUACACUUGUGUGGUACUAAAAAAAAUUGGUGGUUCUAUGUAUGUAUAAAUAUUAAAAUAUUAUAAAUAGAAAGAUUUGAUGGGUGACCCUUUUGUUUAUUAACCUAAUUUGAGUAAGGUAGAUGAGUUUACCCGUUAUUAAAAGCAUAUAAUUAAUUAAGAUUCAAUAAAUUAAAGUAGCACCUCGAAACCUUACCUAAAUUUGUUGAUUUGUUCCCAUAAAAAAAAAAAUAAUGUACCUAAGUUGGUUGAACUGGUCUUCUUUUUGCUCUCUCAUUUUUCUUCUUUUAUUAAUUAAAGUAUUAUUUGUUGGAAAAUUCACAAAACUCUAUUCAUAACUAUUCUAAAAGAAACCAUACAUGAAAAAACAAAAUCUAUCGUAGAUUAAAAUUACGUAGAUGGACUUAGAUUGAUUCUAAUGAAAAAUAGAAGGCUAAGGCGACAUAGUAUGAAUUGAUUUUAUGAUUUUCCCUAAUUGAUCUCUAGAAUCAUCAAACUAGUUGGUUUCUAUUGAUGCUCGUGCCCAAUAUACUAAUUAAAUAGUUAAAUUAAUAAUUAAAGAAUUAGUUGGAAGGAUGGUUGUUUUCAUAUCUAAAUUAUUGAAGCAUCAAAGUUUAGGGGAGAGGUAAUUGGUAUGCAUUUGUUGUUUGAAGUCAAAUGUUGAACCUCCAAUUCUAUUAUUUGCACACACACACACAACAAAAAGAAAAAGUCAACAAAUUGGGUGUGUGUGUGUGUGGCCAUGAAUGGAAUGGGAUGUAUUCCAACCAAAAUAAAUAAAUAUAUAGUCCUCUACCUUAUACGCCAACUCCUCCAGAGUUGUCCAAGGCUGUGUGCAUCAAAUUUUGUAAACACCAUCUCCUAAACUUAACUUAGAGUUGUAUUUGUAAUGCACCCAACUCUUUUCCCAAACACAUAGUUUAUAGUUUGUGUGUAUAUAUAUAUAGGUUUCAAUUGAUUUUAUGUCCAACCUCAUGAAUUCGCUAUCAAAAAUUGAUAUAAAUAAUAACAGAAGGUAUGAAAGUGAGAAGGGGGAUGGUUUUUAAAUUUUAAUUGUGAUUAAACAAAGGGCAUUGAAAAAGCAGGCUGUCAGAUUAUUGUUUAAAAUCUCACAACUUGCCUCCUUCACUAUCAUUUCAUUUUAUACACUUUUAAAAUCCACCUCAUAAAAACAUUUUUAAAAAGCUUCGUCAACUGCUCUAUUUUGAUUUCAAUAUUUUAACCAUUUGUAGGUAAAAAUAAAAAAUUGGUCGUUGGUACUACAAAUACUCCUAAACCUGAAUUAUGCUAAUUUAAUUUUAGCAGCAUUUUAUUUUAAUUAAAAAAUCUUUUACGUAGUUAAUAGUAUUGGGAAAAUAAAGUGACUGUGUUGGUUAAUGGGUGGAAUUAAUUUUUUAAAAAAUGGAGAUGAAGUCACAAAAAGACAACCUAAACAUCUUCUUCUUCCCUUUUGUUUUAUUUGUUUCAUUGAAAUAAAAAUAAAAUGCCACGCGUAUCACAUGGUACACCAACGUGAUUCAUAAUAUAUCAUAAAUAAUCCAUAUUUUUUUAUGUUUUUUAAGUUUUUAUUACACUUUCCUCGUCUAUGAAUGAUUUCUACUCCAAAUUUUAUCGAAUCUGAUUAUUUGGAUAUUGAAUUUUAAAGUUUGAGUUUUAGUUAGAUUAAGUUUUCGAAUUAUUUUUUAUUAAUUUAAAAUGUAUAAAUUGUCUACAACACAUUCACGUAAAACUCAAGUGUUACAUGAUAUCUAUGGUAGACCAUUGAUCAUAAUAUACCUAUAAAUUGAUUAGGGUGAGUCAACAAAUUUAUUGAACGUGAGACCCAAUCCAACUUUUAUAAUAAAUAGUUUAUGUUGUAUCUUCAAAUUGUUAGAUGAUUUAAAUAUAAUAUUAAAUAUUUGUAGGUAGGAAUGUGGAUGGAGAAAGAGAGUCAAAAUUGGUAAAUGUUGGAUAGAUAAGGAGGUUAUAAAAAGAGUGAUUUUGAGUUGAAAGAACAUUGAUUGUAUUUACAUUAGAAGGAUGGCAUUGGAUGGUAGUAUGGUGGAAACGGAGAGUAGCGGCAAAAACGUCCCACCGGUUGGUUGCCUACUCCUGCCCCCAUUGUAUUGUAUUCUAUUGUCCUUGGGAUUAAAGCAAAUUGAGGUUCCCGCCGUCUGAAGCCAACGAACCAAACUCAUAUUUUCUUUUUUAUUUAUCGCUAAUUUUCUAUAUAAAAAAAGAAAGAAAGAAAAUUAUUUUAAAAACGUCGUGCAGCUAUAAAUACGAAUAGGAAGUUGGUUGGGAAGGCAUUUAUUUUGUGCAGGCGAACCCAAUUCCCCAACUUUCAUCCUCCUCCUCCUCCUCCUUCUACUUCUAAUCCAAAGGUAACAACUCAAACUACUUCUUUUUGCUUGCAUUUCUCUGGAAUCAUUUUUUCUAGAUCUGUCACUGUGACUGCCUCUUUGUUUCCAUUAUCAAAUAUGGAAUGUUUUUAAACUUUCUCUUUCUUCUACCCACCAAAUCUAUGUGUCUGAUCUGCCUCUCUUCUUUCAAUCACUGCAGGCUUUACAAAAAUGGCUCGCAAGAAGAUCAGAGAAUACGACUCUAAGAGAUUGUUGAAGGAGCACUUCAAACGGAUCUCUGGUAGACAACUCCCCAUCCAAUCCGCUCAAGUGAGUCCUGCUUCACUCUUCUUAUAGAUCUCCAUAUUCUUAACAAUUUUCUUCUGCCUCAUUACCAUUAUAUUCACCUUCUUCUCUCUUGACGUUUCUUCUUCCCUUACACUCAACACAUUCACUGAUAAUUGUUUUUCUUCCUUUCUUUUUUCCUCUGGACAUUACCAAAUCUGAAGCCACUUUUGUUCACCCGUUUGAAUCCUUGGAUAUGUUAAAAGAAGUCUGAUCUAACGUUGCUUUCCCUGUCUCUGCACCACCACUGACUUGAAAUCUCUUUCUAUGCCUUCGUUAUUGAUUUAAUGACCAUAUUUAAAAUCUGGCUCAGGUCACUGAAUCAACUGAUUUCAAUGAGCUUGUUGAGAAGGAACCUUGGCUUUCUUCAUCAAAAUUGGUCGUGAAGCCCGACAUGUUGUUUGGAAAGCGUGGCAAAAGUGGUUUAGUCGCCUUAAAUCUUGAUCUGGCUCAGGUUGCUGCAUUUGUGAAAGAGCGCCUUGGGAAAGAGGUGUUGUUUUAUUUUCUUUCGUCUUUUGGAUCAAUCUGCUUUUUAUAAUUGUUCGUUUUCUCAUCAUCCCAUUCCAUUUCCUUCUCUCGCUUAUUGAUCCUUUUACUAUGCUAUUAUUCUCUUUCAUGACCAGGUAACAAUGGGUGGAUGUAAGGGACCUAUCACCACAUUUAUUGUGGAGCCCUUCAUACCGCACAAGGAAGAAUACUAUCUCAAUAUUGUCUCAGAGAGACUUGGGUGCAGUAUUAGCUUCUCGGAGUGUGGAGGAAUUGAAAUCGAAGAGAAUUGGGAUAAGGUAUUUUUUCUCUUGAUACUAUUUGGUGUUUUUAAUUAACAAUCUGUUAGGUUCAGGAAUUACUCUUUGUUUGAAUUCUAUCACCCCCAAAUUUUACUAAGCUUCAAUGGAAUUCUCUUUUGAAUCAGGUUAAAACCAUAUUUAUCCCCACAGGAGUGUCCCUCACUUCAGAAACAUGCGCCGAGCUGGUGGCAACCCUUCCUUUGGAGGUAAAUUUUCAUUGAUGAAAAUUGCUUUUCCUUUUUAGAGUUUUUUUCUCUGGUGAUACCUAUCACAUAGUUUACACUGACUCAACCAAGAGGUUAGAGGUUCAAAACCUCAUCGCCACAUAUUCUUCAACUAAAAAAAAUGUAUAUUAUAGUAUUCUUGACUACAUAAUUUGUGGAAGCCUAAAACUGCUUAAGACCUUACAUACACUAUAUACUUAUGAGGCUUUAAUUUAUCUGAAAUGGUUAUCUGUCACGGAAAGUCAAGAAACCCUUUGCAAGAUCAGAUAGUUAACAUAAAUUUGUUCUUCAAUCCAGAUCAAAGGAGAAAUCGAGGAGUUUAUCAAGGCAGUUUAUACCCUAUUCCAAGGUAUGCUAUUUUUUUUGGAUGUGAACUUAACUGCUAAAUUAUUGGUAGAUUAAAAAACUGAAGUUGUUAGUUUAAUAUCAAUAUAUUUCAAUAUCAUUAUUAGGCUUGUCUGUCUUGUCAUCUUGCUAAUCAUCACUAGACUAUAAUCCUGAAGUCUAGUAGUCCUAAAAAUAUAUGAAGUUAGGUUCGAGUAAAUCUAAUUACUUAUUUUAUUUCGUGAAUGGAUCAAUUAAGUCAAUUUUUUGUGAGACAGAUCUGGACUUUACUUUCUUGGAAAUGAAUCCUUUUGCGCUUGUUGAUGGGAAGCCCUAUCCUUUGGAUAUGAGGGGUGAACUAGAUGAUACUGCUGCUUUCAAGAACUUCAAGAAGUAUGUCUGACACCCUUGGUUAUAAAUUGCAUUACAUCCAUUGCUCGCGCAUCAAGUACAAGCGUAAUAAAUUAUAUUUUCUGAUAUGUUUUUGCCCUUGUAGGUGGGGAAGUAUUGAAUUUCCAAUGCCAUUUGGUAGGGUUAUGAGUCCCACUGAGAGCUUUAUCCAUGGCCUAGAUGAAAAGGUAAUGAACCUAUCUGUAGUUUUUUCUCCAUAUUUAUGAUGUCUUCCUUUAACAAUUCUUUUCAUUAGUCGACUGGUUUGUGUAUAUUCUUUUAUUCUGGAAAUUCAUGGAAAAUGUUUGAAUUCGAAAACCCUUUUUGGCGUAGAGCUAAUGAAUAAUGAUAUUUGAGGGUUUUCUGUUUUCUUACUGCAAGUUGUCUGUAUGUUGUCAGUGUUAAGUCUUCCGGACUUGCAAUUAUGAAAAUACGAUGGGUUGAAUUUUUCUUUUUUAAUGAACAAAGGGAAUGCUUGGGAAGUUGGAAUGGAAUCAGGAUCACUAGAAAUUAGAAGGGUGCUGAAAUUCAUGUCGAAUAGAAGGCAGAACAAAAAUAGGAUCGUAAAGCGUAAACAAAUGGAAAAUAGGGUUUAAUUGAAAACUAUAGGAAGGAAAUGAGUUUAGUAUUACAAUUUAGGCUCAAAACAGUCUAUCCAAACCUGAAUUUUGGAUUUCAUUCCAAUGAAUUCCAAUUCCAUUGCGGGUGCCCGAACACCCACUAGUCCCUUAUUCUUGUAUGGUAGUUAAUUUUUUAGGGAAAAUAGAUAGAAAAAAGCAGCCCCAAAAGGGUAUUCAGAUAAGAAAAGGACUCCAAUCAAGGAGAAUUAAGACCUAGGGAAUAAUUAAAAAAAGACUUUGUCACCGAAGAAGCAUAAAACCUAUUGGGUGACCAUAUAUCAUAAGGCCCUCUCUCAACAUGUGCAAAAUGCAUAAAAUACCUAAAUGCGAGUCCGUUUUCUAAGUAUGUUAGUUAUUUUAUUCAACACGUGCAAAUUGUGUUUUUUUUUUCUGAGGUUUGCAUGUCCUUGCAAAUCCGCUAGUUCAAUGCUUAUGUGACCAUCCUAAACUAAUUUCAUUCCAUUCAUUUCAUCAGCGAGUUUGCUGAAAUUUUACUUCAUACUGGAUCUAAUCUGCUGGAAUAAAAAUUUGUUAUAAACUAAUUGAAUCAACUAUUUUUAUUUUCAUCUAUGCAGACCAGCGCAUCUUUGAAAUUCACAGUUUUGAACCCCAAGGGACGUAUUUGGACCAUGGUGGCUGGAGGUGGUGCAAGUGUCAUAUACGCAGACACGGUAAGCUUUAAUUUGUCCACUCCAAUACUUGAGUUUCGAGAUUCAGCUUUCACUUCUAUUAUUUUGGUUUAUUGAUAGAAAAAUUCGUUUUGUAAAGGUUGGAGAUCUUGGUUAUGCCUCUGAGCUCGGAAACUAUGCAGAAUAUAGUGGAGCGCCUAAUGAGGAAGAGGUGUUGCAGUAUGCCAGAGUUGUUAUUGAUGUAAGCAUUGUUUAUUAUCAAGUUACAUGUGAUCAACAUAAUUAUCAUAUAGAAUACAAAUCAUGAGCAUGUCAAGAUACUCGAAUGUGUAAUUGAACAUCUUCUAUUUAUUGGAUGUAGAGGAUGAUACUUUCACUUCUGUUUCCUGUAGUGUGCAACUGCAGAUCCCGAUGGCCAAAAGAGAGCACUCGUGAUUGGAGGAGGAAUAGCGAACUUUACUGAUGUAGCUGCUACAUUUAAUGGCAUAAUUCGGGCCUUGAAGGAGAAGGUAAAGCAAUCUCUGUCCAGUUUCAGGUAGUCCAUUUUCCCGAUAUAAAGUAUUUUUGUACUGAUGGAUAGGCACAUAUUGUUGUUAUGACUCAGGAAUCAAGGCUAAAAGCGGCUAGGAUGAGUAUUUAUGUGAGGAGAGGAGGCCCCAACUACCAGAGAGGGCUUGCUAAGAUGAGGGCAGUUGGUGAAGAACUUGGUGUUCCCAUUGAGGUAGAGUGCAGACCAACUAUAUAUUGUUAAAAGGGCUUCAUAAAAACUGGUAUUGAGAAACCUUGGCUUUGUAAUACAGGUCUAUGGGCCAGAGGCAACCAUGACGGGCAUAUGCAAGCAAGCAAUUGAGUGCAUAACUGCAGCUGCAUAAAUCGGGAUACACCAUCCGCAUCGUUCUUGUCAUAGAUAUCUUAUAUUAUGUGUAGUUUUAUUCGCCUUUGACUGAUUUGUGGUGAUAGUUCGUCAAGUUUUUAAUAAAAAUCUCUAUCUGUGAUGUACCUUCGAACAAGGAUUUGAGUGAAUAAUGAUAAAGCAGAGGGGAUGGUAUGAAUUGAAUGUAGAUGCAAGAUGGGUGUAACGACUUGGGGCUAUUUUGUUUCUUUAUCAGUAUAAGCUCACUGCUUUUGUUACAUUUAAGAUGGUAGCUAUUCAAUCGAGUUCGUCAAUUUCUCGACACUCUUUCAACUAUAUUAAUGUACUGGUACUUAUCCCUGCUUCCAUUCCAAGUGAUAUUAUUUCUAUCUUCUACAAGUGUUAAUUUUUCCUUUUAAAACAAAUCCCUCUUCCUUUUGUCUAGAGACCAAGAAUUGUAUAAUUCACACUAAUCACUACUUCUCUUCUUAUCCUCCCACUCGGUAUCCCUCACCUAUGUUUGAGCUUGUGGAAAAGCUGAAGGCCGGGGAGAGCGGGUACCGUCUAUUCUACAUGCCCAUGAAUAUAAACGGAAAUUUUGUUUGUGUGGACAACCCCUAAUUUAGAACAAUGUAGAGACAUCAUUGAAGCAAGGCUAAGGAGAAUGCCGCUUGGGUUGUCCAAAAAGUGUGGUUCAACUUCGAUCGCAGUUGUGAAGAUGAUUAGAUUGAGUUGGAGAACCCCAAGGCCCAAAGGCCAUUAAUAGUACAUGACAUGAAUGACCCAUCCCAAAUCAAGUUUCCCACUUCUACGGCCCGCCCGCCCUUCCAUUUCUCCCAACCCACCGAACCAACGGGUUUUAUUAUUGUUUUUCUCUUUCUUUUUAAUUAUGUGGAGUAAGCUCAACGAACAUCUACAACUAUUUUUCAUAGAAAUUUAAGCAUGGUCUCCCUAGCAGUAGUAUUAGUAAAAUGAAAUUAUUAUAAAUUUGAGAAUUUGAGAUGGGUGAAUCGGAUCUUUCAAAGUAUGCCCUAGAAUGGGCCUACCACUGGCACUCCUUUCCAAUUUCCAUGGUUGAUUACCUGCAUUGAAAUAAAUAAUUUUAUUGAUAUUUUGGAUAAGACGAAAGAAUGUGAGGCGGUGGGUAAUGGUAGAGAUGGAUGGUGAUUGUUCAUUGCAUGACAUGCUCAUACAUAUCCCACCCCCAUCUACUAAUACUCUCAUUUUCUUCACCCCCAGUACUUCCAUUAUUAUUCUUUUUCUCUUUUAAUUCUUCUCAUCAUUCUUAUUACCAUAUUCCACCAAUUAUAUUUAUAACUGGUGAGAACAAACCAAGGGGAAUUAAUUAGGAUGUGGCUUAGAAGAUGAUUGUUUGGGACAUGGUGGACCAAUCACGCCAGCAGCUUAUUAUCAUGCUGUUCUGCGAGAGGGGAUGGACUCGAUCUUCAAAAGAUGUUCUCCAUUUGUCCAAUUCAAAAGUAAAUAUGUAAAGUGUGUGUGUGUGUGUAUAUAUAGUUUCAAUCAUGUUCUAAAAUUGUAUUUACUUUCAACUUGUUGGAAUAGAAGUACUGUUUCUUUUUAAUUAAUAUGGUUGAUUCUACAUAUUAUUGUAGAGGAUAUUUCAAAAAAUUUAAUUAUAAACAAUUUAGAUUAAGUUUGUUGUAAGGAGAUUAAAAUAGGAGAGAUGUUAGAAAGUUGUUUGUGUGAUGACUACCAUAUAUCAUCAUUGUAUAACCAACCAAUUUAAAAGAGGAAGAUAGAUUGAUGAGGAAAGAAAGAAAAGAAAAGUCAUAAUCAUUUUGAUAAGAAGAAAAAUAGAAACAAGUAGGAACCAGUAAAGUAGUAACACACUUAAACUUUCCCGUAAACAAUCAUGAUUGGAUAUUGCAAUAACGCUUCUCCCUAUGAGUAAAUAAUUAAAAGUUGUAAGUUUGUAUUAUAGUUAUGGGUUAGUAAUAGUAGAAGAAAAUGAAGAAGGUAGAGAAUGAGGGAGGAAAAGAAAAGUAAAAGGAAGGUGUAGUUUUGAAAGAAGGAGAAUGGAGUGAAUGGGACAGGAAAAGGGAAGGCAUGUGAGUGGAAAUAAUGGAAUAUAUUAAUAGAAAUAGAAUUUGGUAAUUUGGAUAUUUUAAUGGGAAAAAUAAAAAAAAUUAGAAAACCUGCAGCUGCAGUGUUUAUAAGCAUUAUUAUUAUUCUACGGAAUUGUGGUUUUCCCAAAGCAAACACCUCUGGCCUCUUCUCUUCACUCUUCACACCUUCCCUACACAAUAAUUCCCAUUUUUUCUUUUUCUUUUUAAUAAAUAAAUAUAAAAUUAAAAAAAGAAAAAGAAAAAAGGAGAUGAAUUUUUGAAAAGUGAGAGAGCAUAUUCAAUUUUCCCAAUGCGACAAAAAUACCAAAUGCAUCGGGAUUCUAUUCCACUUUAUGGCCUUUUAGUACCAAAUUAAAUAUAAUACACACUCUCUUCCUUAUUAAAUUAAUACUUCGCUCCCCCCCCCCCUUUCUAUUUAUUUAUUUAUUAAUAAUUACAAUUACAAUUAUUUAUUAAUUUAUUACGGGGAGUUAUCCUUUUAUCUCAAUUUCCCCACAAAUCUUUGUCUAUGCAAAAAACCCUUUCUCAUUUUCAAUUCCAGGAUACUGUUUUACUUUCAUAAAACUUGUUUAUAAUGCUACUAAGGAACUCUGUUUUCAUUUUCAAAGUUAUGCUAAUAAUAUGACAACCAGUUCAUACUAACACCUAUUCUAUAUAUAUAUAUAUUGCCAUUUGCACUGUAGAUAAAAGAAACCUGUGAACACCGGCCCCCACCACAAAAAUAACAUAACCAACUGUUUUUCUUUUCUUUAAUUAAUAAAUUGAACGGAAUUAUUUCGCACUGUUUUCAAAGGGAAUAUACAUGUGUAUAUAUAAAUAUCAAUUUAUAUGUUUAUUAGUUUUUUUCUCAGUUUAAUUUAUAGGUAUCUCUUUUCCUGUUGCCAUAUAACAAUUAGUUUGGUUAGAUGAAUAAGUGAUAGAGUUUAGGUGGGUGAUUUGUGUCAUUCAUCUCAUUGUAUUUCCGAGUGUUUAUGGAAGACGUAAAUUAAAACAAGUAAGGUAUGGUGUUGUUAAUUAAAGGUUAAUUUUCGAAUAAAAUGAGAGCACGUUUAAUUUCUGUUGGGUUGCUAAAAAUAGUAUAAAAUAAUAUGAAACACAGGGAUGGGGAUUGUACUUUUUAAUUUGGAGGGGUGACCCACCCAAGAACCAUGAUUCUUAUACGAAAUUGAAUAAGAUUCUACUACAUGUUGGAUUAUUAGUGAUGACCCUCCCCCCUAUAUAUAUUAUGAGAUAUGUAUUUGGGCAUUUGGUAUUUGGAUUGAAAGCUUCCUUAAAUAGGGCUGGGUUCCAGAAAGAAAAAGAAUUGAAAAAAGAGUUAGGUUUUGGUUUGGUUGGUUUGGUGUGGGCAUCAUAAUAGAGAAUAGAGAUUCCCAUCACAGCAUCCAACCAACCAACUAAAUGGAAUAACACACAAAACACUCUCGCACGCACACCACAGCCUCACCGCUCCCUUUGGUUAUAAUAUUGUUUUAUAUUUUUUCUAAUUCCACAAGCAAUAAUAAUAAAUAAAAUAAAGGAGAGAGAGGAAUGAGUAAAAUUACCAAUGCUCCUUAGGGGGUGUAGUGUAGAAGGGACCCCCUGCUCUCUACCAAUAUUCCCUUUUUUUAACUGUAACUCUUUCUCUCUCUCUCUCUCUCUCUCUCUAUUAUGUAAUAUUAAACUAAUCUGAAAUUGAUAGUUAGUUAGAAAUAUAAUUUUAGAUGGAAAAGAGGGAGAAAUAAAAAAAAAAAAGAAAAAAGAAGAAGAAGAAGAAAAGAACAUGUUUGAAAUGGCCUGGAGAGAGGGAGUGAAGAAGAAGAUGAUGAACAUCAUAAGCAUUAUUUGUAAAAGUUGAAGAGAGAAGGAAACGAAAAGAAAGACAAUGGGAGCACGUGACGUGAGCUGCCAAAUACACACUUUGCUUCUGCACUCCCAGCCAACACAUCGGACACCCAAAUACCAAUACCCAUACCCAUACUCUCUUUACCCACAAUUCUUCUUCCCCUCCCCCACCUAAAUCCCCAGUAUCCAUCCUUUCAUUCCAAUCCAAAUCUUUCUUUCUUUCUUUCUUCCUUUUUUUCUUUCUUUUCCCCCCUUCAUUUUCCCCUCUUUUUUUCUUUUUACCUUUUUCGAAAAAGCUGCCUGCCUGCCUGGGCCUGCCUCGUGCCUCCUAUUAUUUUCUUCUUUUCUUUUUUCAAAUAAAAUAAAAAUAAAAAGAAAGAAAGAAAGAAAGAGGUUUGAUGAUAUGUGUGUGUAACUGGGUUUACUUACAUCUAUGUAUCUGUAUUUGGGGCGAACCUCGGCUGUUUCUCGCGGACUCUGUUUAUUUGUUCGGUUGUGGUGUGCGGAAGCGGAAGCAAAAGCAGCAGUAACAGAGCAAGAGUUGAGUGGGUUUUACUGAACCCCCCCAAGCCAAGGCGCCUUUUUCUUCUCAAGCAAGACUCACCAACAACAAACAAAAACUAGAUUUCAUCAUGCCAAUUCUGGCCUCCCCAUUCUCAACUCCUAUACUAUCUAUCAUAUUCCUCAUCCUCAGAUCUCUGGGAUCUCACACUUUCAACUUCUACCUAUUACCUCUCUUUUCCUAAACACCCAACUCCUCACCUUUCUGGAGACCCAAUGUCUUCUCCACUUCUGCUUUUUCUUCAUACAUCCUCCCACCCGCUCCACUGACUCACUAUUUACUCAACCCCUAAUUACUUGUUAAUGGAACCACAUUUUCUGUUUUCCAUACCCCUUUUUCUUCUUUUCCCACUCCUCCAUCUUGCUUCUGCUACGCUGUCUCCUUCUGGUGUUAACUUUGAAGGUUAGUUUCUCCCUCCCCUUCUCCCUCCAAUUCUUUUCUUUUUCUUUUUCUUUUUCUUUUUCAUUCUCCAACUUUCAAUUCUUUAUGGGAAUUUCAAUUUCAAUUUUAACAGUCGUAGCGUUGAUGGCCAUAAAAUAUGAUUUAUUAGAUCCCCACAAUGUUCUGGAGAACUGGGAUUCUAAUUCUGUGGAUCCUUGCAGCUGGAGAAUGGUCACCUGUUCUCCAGAUGGAUAUGUUUCUGUUUUGUAAGUCUUCUUAUUCCCAUUAUCUCCUUUUUCCACAUUUUCUGUCACCACUUGUCAUGUCAAAACUCCUAUUUAUUAUUUUGGGUUUCUUUCUUUCUUCUUAAUCUUAUUUAUGAACAGGGGGCUACCUAGCCAGAGUUUGUCCGGGGUCUUAUCACCUGGGAUUGGAAACCUCACCAAGUUGGAAUCUGUGUAAGCUUCUCCAUUCUGCUUACUCCCCACUUACUGUGUAUACAUUUUCUAUCCAACCAUAAUAAUUCCAUUUGCUAUUACAAAACAUACGUAGGUUGCUUCAGAACAAUGACAUUUCAGGACCAAUUCCUGCAACCAUCGGAAAGUUAGAGAACCUCCAGACUCUUGAUCUCUCCAACAAUUUAUUUAGUGGCCAAAUACCCAGUUCCCUCGGAGACCUGAAGAAGCUGAAUUAUUUGUAAGUUUUGCACGCUUUCUUAGCUUUUGGUUGAAUGAUUCAUUCUGAUCUUUGUCAACUGCACAUUAUUUUUUGAGCAAGGCAGGCGACUGAAUAACAACAGCCUAACUGGACCUUGUCCUGAAUCUCUAUCCAAAGUUGAAGGUCUCACGCUCGUGUAUGUUCAUUUACUUCUGUAUACCACAUCUCUAUUUUGUGGUUUAAUCCGGUUAAUGCUAUUUGGAAGAAAUAUAUAUUCACGUUUUUAGUUGAACUAAUAGGGACCUUUCAUACAACAACUUGAGUGGCUCCUUACCCAAAAUAUCAGCAAGAACAUUCAAGUAAGUUAUUUUCUUUCUUGUAUUUUCAAAUUCAUAUCAUUUUGAUUAAGUGAAAAAAAAAUCUCAAAGUCUCAAAACCUCAAGUACUGUGUCUUUUGUUCAGGAUUGUUGGUAACCCUCUGAUCUGUGGUCCAAACAACUGUUCUGCUAUCUUUCCAGAGCCAUUGUCGUUUGCCCCAGAUGCUCUUGAAGGUAUAGGUCUCAUGACAUCUAUUUGUAUUUGUAUUUGUAUUUAUUUUGAUUUGUUACCGUAACUUACUGGAACAUGUUUUUGAUUGCUUGGGUUCUUUCUCCUCAGAAAAUCUGGGGUUUGGUAAGAGCCACCGCAAGGCAAUUGCUUUUGGGGCAAGUUUUAGUGCUGCAUUUAUUGUUUUAGUCCUUAUUGGACUACUUGUCUGGUGGAGAUACAGACACAACCAGCAGAUUUUCUUUGAUGUAAAUGGUAAAUCUCCUCUCUACUCCUUAUUAUUGGCAUUUUGGUUUGUGACGGAUUAAGUAAUAUUUUAUCAAGCAGGAAACGAUCUUGUUUGCUUCUCGUGUAAUACGUUUGAAAUUCUUAUUGGACUAAUAUAACAUUAAUGGAAAACAGAUCAAUAUGACCCAGAGGUACGGUUGGGUCAUUUGAGAAGGUACACAUUCAAGGAACUUAGGGCAGCAACUGAUCACUUUAACCCUAAGAAUAUCUUGGGAAGAGGUGGGUUUGGAAUUGUGUACAAGGGAUGCUUAAAUGAUGGGAGUCUGGUAGCGGUUAAAAGGCUGAAGGAUUAUAACACAGCUGGUGGGGAGAUCCAAUUUCAGACUGAAGUAGAGAUGAUAAGCUUAGCUGUACACCGAAAUCUCCUCAAGCUUUUUGGCUUUUGUUCUACUGAGAGCGAAAGACUUCUGGUUUACCCUUUCAUGCCCAACGGCAGCGUUGGAUCUCGUCUAAGAGGUUUGUUGCUUUCGUAGGUUUGAUUUUGAUAGAAAAGAUGAAUUGAUAUUUCUAUUACAUCUUACGAAAAUAAACACAUGUUUAUUUAUUUAUAAUUUUUCUAAAAAUUUGCAUUGACAUUGCAACUUCACUGAAAUUAAGACUUUGAUAUAUCAAUUAAUAUCCAUAUUUUAAAUCUCAGUUAAAACAUGAAAUUCCACCAAAUUUCACAAACUUCCAAAGUAAAAUACCAAAGCAAAUCACUACUAAAAAAAGCUCACAUUUAUAAAUUCAUCCAAUUAUCAGCUUGCGUUAAUAGUUAAAUACAAUUUUUAUUUGUCAAUUAACUAUAUGUUAAUUACAACAAUAACUACAUAAAUAGGUUGUGGUUAAUAGUCAAAUAAAUUAAGACUGUGGUUUUACUAAGUUUAGGUUUUAAUUUUGGUUUGUGAGAAAUUGGUGUAAAAUUUGGAUAAACUUUUUCAAUAGUUUGGGGUAUUUUUGAAACAGCUUCGUCCAAAACUUUAAAUCUUUUUAAAAGUAUUUUUUUUUGGUUAAGUUUAGGGAUAUUUUUUUUACACAAACUACAAAGUUGAAGACAUUUUUUUGUGAUUUAAUGUAUUUAAUAGUAGCAAAUUUCAUAGUAUUAAACCAACGUGGUAAUCCCCAGUUACAAAUGAUGCUAAACUGGAAGGUUUCAAGAUUUGUAUGUUUUCUUAGAAAGGGGAAUUUAGUAUUGGUGGAUGUUUCAUAAUUUUCAAAUCCUUUGUUUAUCAGAUCGUAUCCAUGGGCAGCCGGCUCUAGAUUGGGCAAUGAGAAAGAGAAUAGCCUUGGGCACAGCUAGGGGAUUGGUAUACUUGCACGAGCAGUGUGACCCCAAAAUUAUUCAUCGUGAUGUCAAGGCCGCCAACAUUCUCCUUGAUGAAGACUUCGAGGCCGUCGUAGGAGACUUUGGGUUGGCCAAACUUUUGGAUCACAGGGAUUCUCAUGUUACUACAGCGGUGCGUGGCACUGUUGGCCAUAUUGCCCCAGAAUACUUAUCAACGGGCCAAUCCUCAGAAAAGACUGAUGUUUUUGGGUUUGGAAUCUUGCUUUUGGAGUUGAUUACUGGUCAGAAGGCUCUGGAUUUUGGUCGAGGAGCAAACCAGAAAGGCGUGAUGCUCGAUUGGGUAACUAUUCUUUAAUGCUAUACUCGUCUUAACUCAACAAAUUCAAGGGAAAUAUUGUCUUAUACAAUUCAUUCCACUAUUUCAAUGGAUAAAUCUAAUCUUAUGCACUAGACACCCGCAUGUUUGGCUUCUUGGCUCUUGUAUUGUUUUUGAUUAAACAAAGCAAUAUAUUUCUGGUGGAAUGGAGUUUUUUUUAUCUGAAUCUUUCUUUUUUAUUUUAAUAUAUAGGUGAAAAAGUUGCAUCAGGAAGGGAAGCUGAAUAUGAUGGUGGAUAAAGAUCUAAAGGGUAACUUCGACAGAGUUGAGUUAGAGGAAAUGGUCCAGGUUGCCCUGUUGUGCACUCAAUUCAAUCCUUCUCACCGACCCAAAAUGUCUGAAGUGUUAAAAAUGUUGGAAGGCGAUGGUUUAGCUGAGAAAUGGGAAGCAUCACAGCACAUUGAAACGCCAAGAUGUCGACCGUGUGAGAAUCCACCUCAACGGUACUCAGAUUAUAUAGAAGAAUCUUCUCUUAUUGUAGAAGCGAUGGAGCUUUCAGGCCCCAGAUGACAGCCAUCAUUUUUCUUUCCUUUGUAAUUCCCUCUUACAACAUUAACUUGCAGUUGAAGAGAAAAGAGUGAGUGGGCGUUGAUAGCGUUGGUGUAAUUCUUCUGUAAAAAAGAAACAAGAGAAAGAGUAAUGCUAAGCUGUUUGUUGAAGCCUACGCUUAGAGGUUAACUUCUUAGUUCUGGCUUAUGGAACGACAUGUCCUUUGUCCAAUUAUUUAGUGUCCACUCAAUCAAUUUAUUCAGCCAAACCCCAGCUGGUGUGUAUGUUAAAAGAAAAAUAAAGCUCAUUGAGACGUCCAACCUGCUUGUAGAUACGAAAAUUUCUAAAGUGAUAGACUUUUAUCAUCGAUAAAUUUUUAAAGUAUACUUGAAGUCAUAUUGGCAUUAUUCACAUUUUUGUUUAGUUUCAAUAAAUAAUAAAAAUAGAUUCUUGAUGCUUAUGUCAGUAGUGACAUGCUGCUUUCACAAUGGAUAGUCUUGCAAUGGAUAGUCUUUUAUCAUUUGAAUGAUUGUGAAAUGGUAUAGGUUAAGAUGUUUAUUGAAUUUUAAAGAAGUUGCAGCGUGGAGAUAUAUUUGUUUAAUUCAAUGUAUUAAAUGAUUGUAAUUAAAUAUAUGAAGAUUUUGUUAAAAUUUGAAUUGCAUUCCCACUCUAACGUUUUUGUUAACCUCUAAACUCUUGUUCAUCACCUACUUCACUCCCUACUUUCUUGGAUCCCUAUGAUUUUUAAUGUCAAAGGCUGUGAGGAAUAUUUCUGUUUGUGGUCUUCAUCAUUUUCCUCCAUCUCUUUUUGGACUUAACUCCCUCUAUUCUUCCUCUUGGCAUGUCCUUAAAUUCCCAAUGCUAUUGUAUUUGUAUAUAAUUCCCUCACGUUCCAUUUUAACUUUGGAUUCAUCGUUUCGUUUUGUUUCAUUUCUUUUAUGGCAUCUAUAUAUAUAUAUUGAUUUGUAUUUGGUUUGGCAUUGAAGUUAUCAUUUUUGUUUUGAUGCAUAUGUUAUUUUAAAAAAUGUUAAAUAAUGAUUAUAAUUUAUAUAUAUAUAUAGGGGGAUGGAUAUGUUAAUGCAUUUUCUAUUAAUAAGAAAGAGAGAAAGAGAGAAAGAGAGAAAGAGAAAAAGAAAAAGAAGGGUUAAUAAAUUAAAUGGGUUUGGAAGUGUGGUGUUAUGAAUGUGUGUCUCCGGUGUGGGAUCUCCCUGUUUUGGCGUUGUUAAAAAAGUACUAAAAUAGAAAGCAAAAAAAUUUCUCUGACUUCGUGAUGAACCACAACCACCUUUAAAACUCAUAUUCCCUCCCCCUCCCCUUUCCAUUCCAAUUUUAAUAAAGAAAAGGUUUUGUAAUUUUAAAGGCAUUCCUCCCUUCCUUUCUGUUUAUGCCAUGGACCCCAGGAAACUUGGAUUCCCCGAGCAGAUUCUAUCUCCGAGGAGAAGAGUUGUUCCUGGAUUUGGUCUUGGCAUUUCCCUUUCUCUUAUUGUUCUUAGCUUUCUUUUGCUCUACACUUCUUCUCACGGCAAAUUUUUCUUCUCUCUUUAUGAUCAACCCCCUUCCGUUGAUUCUCUCUUUUCUUCUUGGUCUUUCUCUUUCUCUUCUCCUUCCUUCUCUCCUUUCACUCCUAAUUCCUCCAACUUGCCCACCUAUGAUGAUCCUUCCCUCCCUUCCCAAUUCCCCCCAUUUCCCAAUCACACUCAUCGUCACAACAAUGCCACCCUUCAACUCAAUCCCCAUUCCCCCAAUGCCUCUCUGUUUCCUCCAAAUGCAACUCUUUUCGACAUCCCAGAGUUGGACACCCAACACAAUUUCCCCCCCUCUAACUCCACUUCUUUGAACACCAAUACUACUCGAUAUCCUAAGGACACCAAUCAUUCUUCCAAUGCUCAGGGCAAUAUGCCAUCACAACCCAAUGGUGGUGCCACAAAUUCAAGCCACACAAUUGAAAUUUCCAACAACACUCAGCCCCUGCUAACAUCUGAUGACAGUUUUUACGAGGAUUGUGAUAUCUUCGAUGGUGAAUGGGUGAGGGAUGAUUCAAAGCCAUAUUAUCCUUUAGGUUCUUGCCCUUUCAUUGAUAGGGACUUCGAUUGUGAUCUUAAUAAAAGGCCAGACGAUGGAUAUGUGAAAUGGAAAUGGCAGCCAUAUGGGUGUAACAUUCCAAGGUAUUACAUUAACCUGAUCCCAAACCACCCCCCCCGAUCCUUAAUUUACAUGCAUCAUUAGGUUUGCUCCAUGUGAUAUUCCUAUUUCAUAAUGCAUGCAACAUAUAUGAGAUGCAUUUUGAGGUUACGAACCACUGUCCUAAUACCUCUUUUGAACACUGCUUCUUUUACAGUCUGAAUGCAACACAUUUUCUAGAGGUGUUGAGAGGAAGGAGUCUGGUGUUUGUUGGGGAUUCAUUGAAUAGGAACAUGUGGGAGUCUCUCGUCUGCAUUCUUCGUCAUAGUGUAAGCGACAAGAAAAAAGUGUAUGAGAUAUCCGGAAGGACAGAGUUCAAGAAGAAGGGCUUCUACGCCUUCCGUUUCGAGGCAGGAUUUCCUUGGAUGUUUGUUUAUUUAUUCUCUCCAUUGUCCAAAGUUUUAAACACAUGUUUGUUAUUUUUGGAACGUUUUCAACUCAUCUUUCCGUUUUGUUGUAUCUGCAGGACUACAAUUGUUCCGUGGAUUUUGUUAGUUCUCCAUUCCUAGUUAGGGAGUCUUCGUUCAAAAGAAAGAAUGGAACCAUCGAGACAUUAAGAUUGGAUCUAAUGGACCCAACAACCGAAAUGUAUCGGGAUUCCGAUGUUUUGGUCUUUAAUACAGGCCAUUGGUGGACUCAUGAUAAAACAUCGAGGGGGUAUGUAUUGUACUCAUCAUUUUUUUUCAAUCCAACCUCUUGGGGAGAUUGUGCUCCAUUACAUUUCUCUUUAGCUUGAAAUUCAUCUGGACUUACCUCGCAUAAUAUCUUGCCAUGAUGCAUCACCAUUUGUAGCAGUUUUCGGUUGUUGAAGCUGUUUUUGUUUUCGCUUCUAUUUCAGAGAAGACUAUUACCAAGAAGGUAACCAUGUGCACUCAAAACUCAAGGUGUUGGAAGCGUUUAAGAGGGCUCUCACCACUUGGGGUCGAUGGAUCGACAACAAUGUUGAUAAAAAUCGAACUCUGGUUUUCUUCAGAGGGUAUUCAUAUUCUCAUUUCAGGUAUACAAAUUUCUCUUGUUUUCUUGCUUCCAAACUAAAUAUUGUUAUAGAUAUAUGAUUUAACAUGGAGAAUAUGCUACUAGUCCAAAAUGAACGAACAAUAUUAUUAAUUUAUUGGUUAUUAUUAUUUUAAUGAAUUCAUCACGUUCAGUGCAAAACAUCACAUUGAAAAGGGUCUGUCUAUUCUCGUUCUAGUAAAAACUAAAUGAAUGAAGAUGAACUUGAACUCCCAACUUUUUUUUUCCAUUAAUGCUUCCAGUGGUGGCGAGUGGAACUCUGGAGGGCAAUGCAACAUUGAAACGGAACCAAUUUAUAACAAAACACACUUGGGCAAAUACCCUAAGAAAAUGAGGGCUCUGGAAUAUGUGAUUCAGGAGAUGAAAACGCCAGUGUCAUACUUAAACAUAACCAGGCUCACUCACUAUCGGAAGGACGCACACCCUUCAAUUUAUAGAAUGGAGUACAAGACAGAAGCAGAAAAACGUGCAGGCCUGCGAGUUCAAGAUUGUAGCCAUUGGUGCUUGCCCGGGGUACCUGAUACUUGGAACGAGCUGCUUUAUGCAUCUGUUUUAAGGAUGGCAAAGAGAUAUUGGAACAACUAAGGAAGAUUUGUACAUCACCAUGUGAUGUGAAAUGAUCGCAUAACCUUUUUUCCAUAUCUUUUUUUUUUGUAAUUUGUUCUUUUUGUUGGGUUUUGGGGUAAAGAUAUAUAUCAAUUCUUGUUUAAUCGCUUAGGUCCCGAGCAGCAGCAUGGUGCAUGCUCAUGUGGAGGAAACUACAUGUUGCUGACUUAUAGAUUGCCUGAGUUGUGCAAAUGUAGAGCCAACAAUGAUCAUAUGUGUAUGUGUAUUCUGUUAAUCCAAUUUAUUUAGAAAUAGAAAUAUUUUUUUGGGUAUAAACUUGCAGUUCUAGUGGAUGUUUGGCAUAAGUAAUUGCGACAUCUAACAAAAGAAAGAGAAAGAGAUAAGAAAGUUUCAUUUCAUUUUUAUUGAAUUGUAGUGAUCGUAGUUGUUGCAAAGAAACAUAGUAAGAUAGGAAGACGACCCUAUAAACUGGACUCAGAAGAGUCCACGCCGUUUCGUGACUUGCCGGUUUGCCAAAGCAGAAUCCAAAAGCCAAGCAGAGAGUAAGGCAUGGCUGACGGGUUAAGCCCAGGAAUAUGAGGAGGAAGGUGAGAGAUUGGCAUUGGCAUUGUAUUCUUUCACCUGAUCUCCAUUAGCUUUUCUUCAAGGCCUGUGGUGGUGGUCCAUAAACCACAGCCCCACAGCCUCUCUCUCAUUCAACACUUGAGCUCUCAAAAAAGCUAGAGGGAGAAGCUGCCUUCUUCAUUCUGGGCUUUAAAUACACAACCCAACUGUUACCCCCACUGCCAUUAUAAUACUCUCACCACCCAUCUGUUGCUAUUCCAAGCUGGAUAAGCUUCAAGUUUAAGGAUUUGGAAGUGGAAGUGGAAGGGGAUUCAAUUUUUGGUGGAACUUCCAAUUCCAAUUCACACAUCACAAAAAUUAAUGCUUGACUCAGCUUUACAUUAACAAACACCUCUCUUCAAUAGACAAUACUUGUUUGAAGAUUCCCCUCUUUAGUUGACUAUCUUGUUUGAGUUAAACAAUAAUUAUAAAGUGGAGAAUCAAAUGGUUGAUUUGACCACAAACACAUAUAUAUAUAUGUAGACAAUAGAAAAAGGGUAAAAUAUGAAAUUUGGGUGGAAGAAG